UCCUUAUGGUUAUGUCUGAAGAAAAACUAUUCUCAAACUGUUGAAAAACAGAUAAUGCAAUGGAAGCUCUUUUUUAUGAGAGAAGAAAUUUAUGUGUUACUAGUAGAUCAUGAUAAAGAAUUUAUUACUGAUCAGAUGGUUGAUUUGCGAGAAUUUUAUGGAUACAAAAAAUGACAUCCCUAGAACUUACAAUCUUUGUCUCUUUGAUAUAACUAAAUUAUAUGUGAUUUCCUUUUUAUUAGAGAUUUUAUUGAAAUCAUGUUUGUUUUCUUGUGAUUUUAAAAUCAUCUCUUCUUUUCUUUUCUUUUCUUUUUUUGAUAAAGUUAAAAUCGUCUCUUCUUAAAUUUCAUUUACCCUAUAAAUCUUGAAUUUCUCUUUUCCUUGUUAUCAUAACACUAUCUCUAUCUUGAAAAUCUCUAAUAUAAAGAACAAAAUAUAGAAGAGGAAAUCCAAUUAGUUGAUUUCGUAGGUUCUUUGUAAGUAUUUCUGUUUCUUUUUUCUUAUUUUUUUUCUCUCUUCUUUGUUAAUACUUUUUGGAGGUGGCCAGCAUAGCCCUUAAUGCUGAGGAAUAGAAAUUACCCGUUUAAAAAAAAUAAAAUGAAAUCACACAUAAUUUAGUUAUAUCAAAGAAACAAAGAUUAUAAGUUCUAGGAAUGUCAUCUUCAUAUUCAUAAAUUCUUGCAAAUCAACCAUUUGAGCAGUAAUAAAUUAUUUGUCCUGAUCUACCAAUAACAUACAAACUUCUUCUCUCAUACCCCUAAAAGGGAGCUUCCAUUGGAUUAUUUAUUCCAUCAGCAGUUUGAGAAAGGGUGAAUUUGUCAGAGAAACACUUAACUCGGAUUUGUUAAUUGAAACUCUAACAUAGAAUUCAUUUAUCCAAAGCCUAUUUAUACUGUAUCCCUUACUGGCUUAUGAGCAUGUUUAGUUAACCAUAUGGAUAAUCUGGUAUUUGGUGGGAGGUGGCAGAUAUCCUGUAGAAUUGGACGAAGUACGGAAAGCUAGUCUGAACAUCAUGGUCAUAAAAAAAAAAAGCAUGUUGCACACUUGAUUAGCUUUCUCCAUAAAGAUGUAUUUAAUUUUCCAAAGUGGAUCAAUAGUUUGUGUUAAUUUUUGCAUCCUUCCAACUUUAUCGAAAUUUUUCCACAAGGGACAUAGUUUUAUAUUAAUUUUAAUUAUUUAUCGGAUUUUCCCCAUAAGAGACAUAGUUUGUUCACACACCAACGUGGAGUGCAAUACACACAAAUUUGACAUGUCAGCAUUAGGUACUCAUGAGAUUCAUAUAUGUCAAGUAAAAGUGUCUAUCAAAUCACCAGAUAAAGUUUAAGUGUCUAAUUUACAAAUUGUGUCAAGUUUGAAGGACUAUCUAGAUAUUUACACUAGACUAUUUAUAUGGUCAACUUUAAACAUGCUCAUAAGCUAGUAAAAGAUCCUAUAUAAAUAGGCUUUAAGAGAUAAGUGAAUUCUACGUUAGAGCUUCAAUUACAAAUCUACCAAAAGAGCUAAUAGUUUCUCUGACAAAUUAGUUUCUUAUAUCUCCUUAUUGUUAUGUCCGGAAAAAAAUAUUCUCAAAUUGUUGAAAAUAUAGAUAAUCCAAUAGAAGCUCCUUUUUCUAUUAGUCGAGGAUUUGGCUUCCAUUGGAUUAUCUAUUCCUUCGGCAGUUUGAGAAAUUUUUUCUUCAGACAUAACAAUAAAGAGAUAUAAGAAACUAAUUUGUUAUAUAAAAGGCUGAAUUUGUCAGAGAAAUACUUCAACCAUUUUGAUAGAUUUGUUAAUUGAAACUCUAACAUAGGAUUCACUUACCCCUUAAAGUCUAUUUAUACAUACUGAUUUAUAAGUAUGUUUAAAGUAGAUCAUAUAAAUAAUCUGGUCUAAAUACCUAGAUAGUCCCUCAAACUUGGCACAAUUUGUAAAUUAGAUUCUUAAACUUAUCUAAUGACCAGAUAGACGCUUUUACUUGACAUCUCAUGAGCACCUAAUGUUGAUUAUCUUUCUCCAUAAAGAUGUAUAUAAUUUUUCAAAGUGGAUCAAUAGUUUUAUAUUAAUUUUUGCAUCCUUCCAACUUUAUCGGAAUUUUCCACAAGGGACAUGGUUUUCUUUUAAUUUUAAUUAUUUAUCAGAUUUUCCCCAUAAAAGACAUAGUUUUAUGUUAAUUUUAAAUACAACUAGAUCCAUUAAGGUGGCAAUUAUUCUUUUCCUUUGUUGAUUAGUUCUUUUUCUUUCUGUGUUUUGUUUAUUCUGUUUACUUAGUUGAGUUAACGAAUACACUACCCAGUACCCUCAUGCCCCAUAAUCAUUAACAACCACAUCCAGAAGUAUUACAGUUUAGCUUUAAGUUUUUUUUUUGACAAAGAGUUUAGCUUUAAGUUUUAACAGUAGUGAAGUUCUAGUAACUCAAGUACAAACAGUAAAUGGUGACACUCUAUAUCCUGAUAAGAAAAAAGAAAAGGCUUGUGCAUCAGUUGAUUUUUUUGGAUGAAUAUUAGCUAGUUGAUGUGUUCUUUUUCCCAACCUAUUGGCUAAUUAAGCUUGUCUAAUUUGCAAAGGAGAAUUCCUCAGGAUAUUAACAGAAUACGAUAGAGCGCCUGAUGACCUUAAUCUAAAUGUUCACACUCCUUCAGUAUUCUCCUAUAGAUUUUAGCUAGUAGGAUAAUAUAUUUGUUGAAUACUCCACCUUCAGAUGAGACCUUAGGCAACAAGCCACUUCACACAAUAUUUGAAUAUUAGGGGGUGUUUAGAUUGACUUUUUUUAAGUGGCUUAUAAGUUAAAAGCCAAAAGUCAUAAGUUGGGAACCCCCAACUUUUGGCUUUUGGCUUCUUUUUUGUACUUUUUCAGCUUUGAAUAAGUGGUUAAAAACACUUUUUGUGUUACCCAAACACUUCCAAAACUAAAGAAAUGCUUAAAAGCCAGAAACUACUAAAAAUAAGCCAAUUCAAACACCACUUGGUCUGAAAUGAAUUUUUAUCUCUUUUCCAUUGUAAAUAGCUGAUGCCCUAGUCCAAAAUGAAAAAGAAAAAAGGACAGACAGGUCCACUAAGCUCCCCCUAUGCACAGACUGGGGAAGGCCCAGACCAUAUUGGGUCUCAUAUAGGCUGCCUUACCUUGCAUUUCUGCAAGAGGGUGUUUCCACGGUUUGAAUUUGUGACCUCGUGGUCACAUGGCGGCAACUUUUACCAAUCCCCUUCUUAGACUGACAUGAGACCACAAAUUUUUUAACCACAGACUUGGUGAAUCCUAAGUUGAAGUCUACUUUAUCUUUUGUUCCAUUGCAAACAUCAGAUGUCCUCACACGGCAUGACAAAAUGGUAUAGCACAUAUGCUUCAAGCCAAUGACUUCAUCGGAACCUCCAUGUUUUCCAGAGAGUGAAAAUUAGUAUUUCAUCAUUAAGUUAAAACCCAACUUAAGGGUAGUUAAAAGCCAGUUAAUCACAAAAAGCCCAUUAUCAUCUUUAUGGAAGUCAGCCGCUAGAGUCUUCGAAAUUGGAUUUUCCAAAAAAGCACUAAAAAAGAAUACAAGGGGAAAUUACCUCUAAGGCAUCAAUCUUUUCAGACUCAUUCGUCUUAGCUUCAGAUUCGAGAAACUCAAAGCCAUCAGCAAAAUCACUGAUUAAUGCCUGCAUAGCCUUUGUCAGCUGUGUUGAGGAGCUUGUCUGAAAAAGGAAAAGAUACUUCACAUAAGUCACACAAGGAUAGUGAAUUCGGACUCUGCACAGACAACAGAUAAUGCAUAAAAGAACACAUCUUGUUUUUCCCUUCUUUCUUCAGAACUUUCAUUCAAAUGAGGAGAUAUUGCAAGUUAGUUCUAACAAAUACCUUUGUCACAUAAAUAGGAAUGCCGUGAGAUUUUGCAGCUGCUUGAAUCCGAGAAUUUUUCUUAAGCUUGGACUGCAGAGCAAGUAGCACAUCUGCUUCACUGAUAUUAUCAGUAAACUCAAUGGUAUCGUCAAUGUUUAGCUGAUUUAUCCCUUGCAUCACACUUGCCUCUGAGAUCUACAAUACCUGCUCAAAUAUGAGUUCCACGUAGAUGUUUCCAUAUAGAAGCUGAUGGAGCUUUAUCGUGUUUUUUCCUCUCUUCUUUUUUGUUUUCUUCAUAAGAAUCUCUUAUUCUAUGCUUCACUUUCCCUCAUAGAAGUUAAAAAUUUAGAGAACUAAAAGGAAAAGAGAGUGGAUUAACUCAAAUGCUUCAUUAGAUGAUAUAAAGUUUGAAGAGGAGGCUCUGUAAUUGUAAAAUGUGUCUUUGACAAUUACUUUAAUGGGUGAAAUCUUAAUGAGCUAAAGCAUAGAAGAAUCUCUUCUCUUUUUCCGCCUAUGCAAGGAGUGACAAAAUUCAAGCAUAUGUUCUUUUUUUCCAGGAAUAUUUUAAAAUAAAAAAAGUUGCUGGUCUUGAAUCUGAAUAGUCAGCCAAAAGAAAAAAAUCAUUCCUGCUCGAUACUUCUACACUUCAUGUUUGGGGCCACCAAGCACUUCCCGCAGAGGAAGGGGGUAUGUGGGGCCUUAACAUGAAAAGAGAGGAAAACAAGGAGACUAUUAGGAUACUGGAGAAGCAUCAAAUUAGGUUUAUUAGAUCCACAAAUUAAAAGAUACUAGCAGCAAAUUAAGUAACAAUAGCACACGAAUGCAGAACCAUCAUGUACUAGGAGGUAGUUCACUUUUUUUGAAAAUUGAUUCUCUUUCGAAGGCCCUUCAACAAUAUGAAUACAAGCUCAGUAUUAAAGUUGAACUAAGAGAACAGAUUCUGAGACUGGGAUUUUAGUUAUUAACCAAACUUGUACAUGUUCAAUGUAGUGAUGACUUUUUUUUUUCCUAUCGAACAAGUAAAUGGUAAUAUCAUCUUACCCCAUAUAGAAAAAUGCAAAGGGCAUCCUCACUUUCACCAGAACCUCCUUCCAUGCUCGGACCUGUUGCUGAGAUGAGCUCAGUUGAAUCAGGUAUACCUCCAUUAAUCUGGAUUAUAUCUUCAAUCAAAACUUCAUUUAUUUCAUCUAAUGGUGCUUGGAUGGAUGAACUUUCCAUUAUUCCAUUUUGCGAUCCUGGAUUUAUCUUGCGAAUUUCAUAUUUUGGGUAACGUCCUUCUCAACAUGAAAUUAACACCAAGGCAGACAAUUAAACAACAUCCAAUUAGCUUUCCAACAGGAUUAUAUGCAAAUGAUUUGUCAGCAGAAUUGUUUUGUUAGGACUUAGGAGGGAGGACUAGUAAAAGACCUGCAAGAAUUGCAUCUACUGUUGCUUCUAAAUCAGGGUGAACUCUCAAUUCUGCCUUGGAGAUUAUCUCAACCCCACAGCUAAAAGAUGAUGGACCUUUCCUCUCCAGAACAGAUUUCUGAACGCCUCUCCUGCUAGCCUCUUCAUCCCCAAGUGUCACACUCUGACAAAGAAAUAAAUUAUGCAACUAUACUAUGAACCUCAAACAGCUUCCAGUCGUCCAAUAGUGCAUGAGAGUAAAGCAUCACUCCAUGGUAUAAUGGUAUUAUGGCAUCAUUUCGAAGAGUAGGUUUGACCUUGAUAUCAUCUUUUGAGACUCUUCACUUUUCUUUCCUUUUUUUUUUUGAGAAAAUCUUUUGAGACUCUUCACUUAUAGAUAUCAAUGUCAAGACACCUCCAUGAGUAAAUAUUCAGGUAACCAAGUUAAAGACUUUCACCCUCUGUCCCACCAUGCACAGCUCAUGUUGCAAUUACAUAGGAAAUAUAGAGAGUGCAGUGGUUCAAUUCAAUUAAAUUGUUUUUGUUUUUUCACCCUUCAUGCAUUGCUUGUGUUGCAAUUGCAUAUAUUAUGUAGAGAAUGCAUUGGUUCACUUUAUUGCAGUGCUAUUGGUUUUGCAUUCUACUUGUGAGAUAUGAAAGGAAAGAAGAAGAAGUCACAUCUGGUACAACUAGGAACAGUGGGAUCCCCCUAGACAUUUAACUAGCUUCUUUCUAAAUAGAAAUCCUAUUACCUACAAAUGUGAAGUAACAAGAGAAGUUUUAUUGGAAAAUCACAAAGUUACCGUCCUUACCCGUUUGUAACAUAACAGCAUUGUUCAACAUUAACUAAGCAUCAGCCCAAUUGUUUUAAAUAUAACAACUAACUGGAAAAAGUUCUGUUAAACGGGAACUACCUGUACUCCUCCAACCAGCAUCUCUAAAGCAGGAUUCAUUACUAAAUUCUCUAUUGUUACUCCAUGAGCAGUUGCAACUAACUGAAUUCCUCGUUGUGCAAUGGUGCUUGCAGCCAUUGCCUCAAGCUUAGUACCAAUCUCGUCAAUUACAAUCACUUGUGGCAUAUGAUUUUCCACUGCUUCUAUCAGCACCUACAAAAAUAUAAAGUAAAAAACAAUCCUCAUUGAUCGAUGUACAAUUGACUCAUGUUUGGAGCCACUCAUGUAAGGGAAGGACAGGUCCAUCCAAGAACCAGCAAUAGGUAUAUCCUCAGGAAAGCUAUUAAUCAAGUACAUGUGGUCCCAGUUUUGCUUUAAAUUUGGGUAAGAUAAAAGGUCUCUUCCAAUAAGAAAUUGCAGUGGUUGCAUCAAUACACCUUUUCAAAAAAGUAAUUUUAUUUUCAUCUGGCUAACAGAGUGAAAGUCAAGCUCCUACCUCGUGUUGCAUAUCAUUAUGUGGAACUUGCAUCCGCCGAGCAUUACCUAUUCCUGCAUGAGGUAUAUCACCAUCCCCACCAAUUUCAUUAGAGGUGUCCACAAUCAUUACGCGCUUCCCAUAAUCAUUUGCAAGCAUCCUGGCUAUGUCCCUAGGAGUAAAAGAAAAAAAUCCUUACAUACCCAUCUGCUGAAUCUCAUGGAAAUAGAUUUAUUGGAAUGAUAGGAGAUACAUGCACAUUGCGGAGGAACUAUCAUUGUCAUGUUAUAACUGCAGGAUUUUAUGUGUAUCCAUGUGCAAGGAGAAAUGAAAGGAGAAAGUGUUCACGAUGGCAUGGGAUACAAUAAUAAGCACAUACAGACAACUGAACCCUUGAUACAUCAAACAUUAGACAGACUUCCAUCACAUUAGAGCUAACCAAUAAUGUGGGACAAUGAGAAGGAAAUGCAAGAAACAAACAUCUAAAGGGAACAGUCAAAAUACAUAACUAAGCAUAACCUGAAUAAGAAAUGUUAACAAAUACACUCCUGUCCUUUGCAAUAAAUGCAAUAGAUGCAUAAGACACAGAGAAUAAUUGUACGAGCCCUGUAUGCAACCCACAUACCAAGUGCCAAAUCCACGAUAUUUUCCCACUUCAUAUAUGCAUCAUUCCAUUAAAUUACAGUAACAAGCAACAUCGUCUAGACUAGCCUGGGACUAAAAGUUUAAGCUAAAUAAGCCCACAAAGACUUCAGAAAAAAGGAAGAGUUGAAGAAGAAAGUAGAAUUACAUUAUGAAAAAACUAGAAAACUUUAAUAUUAUUGAUUAUGUCCAGGAUCUUUAAUUUUACCAACAAUAAAAAAAGUCUGCUGUUAGAUACGCCAAGAAACCUGUUUUAUUCCAUGAACCAUGGCUUCAUGAGAGCUUCAUAUUCAAGUAAUAUUAAACUUGUCCAAAAUUGAGCUUAAGCCUUAAAGAUAAAGCAAGAGGUCUCGGCUUAUAUCUCAAUUAAAGAGACAUCAGGAAGCCAUAUCUAGAUACCAAACUAGCAGCGCCCAUGAGAAAAUUUCAAAGGGUUGGCAAGGACCUAAGAUAAAAUCCAGAAUCAAACUACUCACUGGUUUCAAGCUAUGCUAAGCCACUGCCUGUUUCCAAUCUUGAAGGAGCUAGGCAGCAUCUGUGUGUGGUAUAACUUACCAAAAUGUAAAACCAAGUUUGCCUUGGAAUUGCAGCUUGCAGCUUCAAUAGUAUGAACUUGAUUCAAACUUCCAUUGGCCUCAAUAUCAUGAACCUGAUGGCUUAGAGAAUUGCCCAAAAAUUGGACCUGAAUUCCUUUGCCUGAGACCUCCAAUUUGCUUAUUAUUAACCCUAAUUUGCAAAUUUGAAUUGUUAGGAAGCUUACCAAUUGGGGUUUUUUGUUGUGUUGCGUUAAGUUCAUUCUAGUGCUCAUUUUGGCAUUUCUCGUUGCCUGAAAAUUUCGCCAGAGCUCUAUCGCCAUCGCCGGAGUUCUCCCCGAAUAUGAUUCCCCCGUCCAUUUUGAGUGGGCUUUCAGUAUAAGGUACGUUAGGACAUGGGGAGUAUUCCCCAUUGAUUGAUUCCCCUCGAAUCUCUUCAGAGGGUGGUUGAAAUUGCAGGCACAUCUGGGGCCAUCCAUCCGCAAGCGAUUCUCGCAGAAAUCGCCUGUUGAGAUCUUUCCAAUGGGAAAUAUAGAAUGAGCUGAAUCUUUGAUCAUAGAUAGAUCAACUACCUGAGAAUCAUACCCCAUAGUCGCUUUUACAUGAAUCAAACAAGAUUUCUCCAGGGAUAUAGAUAUACUUUUUUGAGCCCAGUCAAGCUCUUCCUACGAAAUUGCUUCAGUGAUCGCAAAUUCCUUUUGCAAAUUCGAAGAGUUGUGGGAUGAAUUAGAGGUUCAUUCUUGUUGGGUUUUGUUGGCACUAGAAUUGUGCUUUGAUUGGCACUGGACCACCACGAAAUUUGCAUUCAAAGUAAGUUUCCAUGUCAGUGUUGUGAAAGGAAAUCGUCUCGGCGCCAAUGGCGAGAGGCGAGGCGAGGUGAGGCGACCCUUCAUUGCCUUUUAGCUUUGUGGCAAGGCGAUCUUCAAAAGGCAACGCCAUGGAGACAACGACGACAGAGGCAAGAGGCGAGAAAGGCGCCGCCUUUUGUAUUUUCUUAAAAAAAGGCGACCAAUUAAGGAUUUUAAAAGUUAAAAGAUAAAUUUAGGGUUUACUUUCCAAAUUUAUAAAGUUGCACUCUUAGACUGCGACUCCAACCAGUCGACUUCACUUGACUUCUCGGCGAUCAGCCAGACUUUCCUGGCGACUCCAAACUCCAACCAAUACGUAUUUCUUCUUUUCUUCUUCCUUUGUUUCUUUUUCCUUCUUCUUCUUUAGACUUCAGACUUACUUCUACCUUUGGUUUUUUUUCAUUGUUUUGACUUUUGUACUAUUUUUUUUCAUUCUAGUUCUAGACUUUUAGUAUGUACUACCUAUUUUCAGUUUUUGAAUUGAAAUAUUUGUUAAUAUGUUAUUGCUAUUGAGAUUUUGAUUAUUUAUAUAUGCAAUUAAAUAUUUUAAUUUUUUGGUCUUAAUUGGUGCCGCACUUCAAAAAGGCAAGCGCCUCGCCGCUCGACUCAUCUUUUGGCGAGACAGACCCUUGUCGCCUUUCGCCGUCCAAAACAUUGUUCCAUGAUUGCAUCGCAUCUUCACACCAAUAUCGGAUCAUUCUCAUCAUUCCAAAUACGAUUCAAGAUUGAACUUGACUUUACAAAAUUAUUUUCCCUCAAAAUCUAAUCACAAAAGAUAUCUUGAUUUCUCAAAUUUUAAAGAAAUUAAACCUUGAACUGGAAAUUAAUAAGAAGUUAGAAAGUUCUUACCUUUUUAGGCUGAUUUCGUUCAAGAGAGAAGAUAAUUUUUGUUAAACCUUCAACCAACGCUCUUUUGAAAAAAAUGGGGAAGAUGAUGUAUUAAAGAGGAAAUAAUUAAAUAAUAGAAAAAGAACUGACAUGUGGAGGUUUUUAAUUCAUUUUUGGAAGCAAAGUUUCUCAUUCACGCGCGUCAUCUGCGUGAAAACAAACAUAGGGAAAAAACGGGUCAAAAUGUCUAUUAACAAAGGUAUUUAUUACUUUUGUGGGGUUAUAGGAGGACCACAUACUUAAGGUGUCUUCUUGAAAAUUCGGGACAACUUCAGGUGUCACUUUAUGUAUUUUCUCAAAGAAAAAUACUAUCUUUUUAAUGUGACAACCAGAAAUGUAAUGGCACCGAUUAACUUUAAAAUGAGAAGGAGAAUCAAGGUCAAACAGCAGAAAUGUUCCUCAAGUUCAUGACGUUGCACAUCAAAGAUCAGAGGGCGUGAAAUGAGAGUAUAUGUGACAACCAACCUGAUAAUAGUUGUUUUUCCUACUCCAGGAGGACCAAUGAGCAACAAAGAAGCACCAUCUUUAACUAGAUCUCGCAAUGAGUUUGCACUUCCAGAUAUUGCACGACCAACUCGACAAGUUAAACCAAUAAUUGCACCUUUCCGGUUUCUAAUAGCACUAAUUCGGUGUAAAGUUCUGCUAAUGCCAGCUCUAUUGUCAACUGCAAAGUCACCAACCUGUAAUAUGAAUAACCAUUAAAUACAGACUAACCAAAUCGUUACUAGUACUAACUUUUCGCUUUGGACCCAGGUAAGUUGUUAUCAACGACUAUGUUAGUGUAUUUCCAGGGUCAUAGUUACUAUUCAGUCUGAAACUAAAUCACUAGUGUCUUUGAGCAUAUCAUUGAAACACCAACCUCAAAAAAGAAACUUGUUAAUCAAUCGGGCACAACCUCAAAAUUUCCACUCAAUCAACGUUAAGUGUGUGUGUGUAAAAGAGUUGGCCGAGGCCGACCCUGAUCAAAAUCAAAGCCUUCCUAAUUCAAUUGAAGCUAUCACUGCAACUUCAGUUCAAAUUAUUCCCAGAGGUAGAAGCAAUCUAGGAUUUGAAAUUCAUGGAAGGAAAGUAUCAAGUAUCAGCACACCCACAAUUCGUCUGGAUACAAAUUUACCACAAGUAUAUGUUAUUUUUCAAAUAGUUCUACUUUCUCUUCCGCAAUUUAUGUGAUGCAUUUUUUCUUUAAGUCCGUCCAAAAAGAAUUACCUUUCUAUAAUUAGAAACAACCUAACAAUAAACUUCACAUUUUACACUUAAUGAAAUAUAUAUAUAUAUAUAANNNNNNNNNNNNNNNNNNNNNNNNNNNNNNNNNNNNNNNNNNNNNNNNNNNNNNNNNNNNNNNNNNNNNNNNNNNNNNNNNNNNNNNNNNNNNNNNNNNNNNNNNNNNNNNNNNNNNNNNNNNNNNNNNNNNNNNNNNNNNNNNNNNNNNNNNNNNNNNNNNNNNNNNNNNNNNNNNNNNNNNNNNNNNNNNNNNNNNNNNNNNNNNNNNNNNNNNNNNNNNNNNNNNNNNNNNNNNNNNNNNNNNNNNNNNNNNNNNNNNNNNNNNNNNNNNNNNNNNNNNNNNNNNNNNNNNNNNNNNNNNNNNNNNNNNNNNNNNNNNNNNNNNNNNNNNNNNNNNNNNNNNNNNNNNNNNNNNNNNNNNNNNNNNNNNNNNNNNNNNNNNNNNNNNNNNNNNNNNNNNNNNNNNNNNNNNNNNNNNNNNNNNNNNNNNNNNNNNNNNNNNNNNNNNNNNNNNNNNNNNNNNNNNNNNNNNNNNNNNNNNNNNNNNNNNNNNNNNNNNNNNNNNNNNNNNNNNNNNNNNNNNNNNNNNNNNNNNNNNNNNNNNNNNNNNNNNNNNNNNNNNNNNNNNNNNNNNNNAUAUAUAUAUAUAUAUAAUAUAUAUAUAUAUAUAUAUUUAUAGUCAUACAAAUAUUUAUGGUUUGUUAUAUACCACAAUUCAAAAGUCUUGUCUUUCUUUCUUCCUUAAACUUCCAGUUAAAAGUGCAUCACAUAAAUUGAGACAGCGUGAGUAUUACAUAGUAAGUGUUGGAGCCAGAUUUUUCACUAAGAAUAUUCAACAUCUAUUAUAACCUUGUAUAUAGUAAGUGGUGGACCCAGAAUUUUCACUAAGCGCAUUGAAUAUUUACUAUAACCUUGUAUAUAGUAAGUGGUAGAGUCAGAAUUUUCACUAAAUGGAUUGAACAUUUACUAUAACCUUGUAUAUAAUACUCCCUCCGUUUCACAAAGAAUGACCUCCUUUCCUUUUUAGUCAGUUUCAAAAAGAAUGACCUCUUUCCUUUUUUGAUAACAAUUUACUUUUUGCUUUCCACGUGGCAUGUUUAAGACCUCAAGAUUAAGGACAAUUUUGUACAUUUGACUUAACUUUAAUUUAGGACCACAAGAUUCAAAAGUCUUUUUUAUUUACUUAAACUCCGUGCCAAGUCAAACCAGGUCAUUCUUUGUGAAACGGAGGGAGUAAGUGGUAGAGCCAGAAAUUUCACUAAACGGAUUCAACAUAUACUAUAACCACGUAUAUAGUAAUUGGGGGACCCAGAAUCUUCACUAAAGGAAUUCAACAUUUACUAUAACCUUGUAUAUAGUUAGUGGUAGAGUCAGAACUUUCACGAAGAUCAUUCAACAUAUAAUACAUAAAUAUACUCUUUAACUUGGUUUUAAACGUGUAUAGAAUUGAACAAGUAGACAAAUAUGUCCUACGUGGCAUAAUACACAUAGGAUGCCACAUAGGAUACAAAAUUGCCACGUAGGACAUCAUUUAGAACGAAUGUGUCUAUUUAUUCAAUUUAUACAAGUUUAAGUGUCUAGUUGUGCACACCCAAAGUUAAAAGUCAUACUUGUUCGAUGAAGCCAAGUUAACGGUAUGUUUAUGUAUUAUGCCUAUUCUAUAACCAUGUAUAUAGUAAGUGGUAGAGUCAAAAUUUUCACUAAGUUCCUUCAACAUUUUCUAUAACCAUGUAUAUAGAAUAAGUGGUAGAGUUAGAAUUCUUACUAAAAAAAAUUCAACAUUUACUAUAAUUUUAUAUAUAUAGUGUAAUUUUUCAAUGAAGGGUUUCGAAUCCCCUUCUGAUACCCGAGGCUACCUCUGCUCAUGUAUAUAUCUCAAGCUGAAAUGGGUGCUAUAUUUAAUUAAUUCUAACCUGCGAGGUAGCUUGUUGAAGAUCAUCCAAAGUAAUCGGUUGAUCGGACAAGAUGAAAUCUCCAGAAGGGAAGCGAGCAAGUGGCUUACGACCCAAGUCCAUAACCACCUCAAUUAAAUUGGAAAACUCCGGGUGUUCGCUAACUCCUCGCCGCAUUUCCUCCGGCAACAAAGACAAUAACCGACCCAAUUCCACCUGAAAGUCAUCAGCAAUCAAAGAAGAAGACGAUACCGAAGAUGAUAAGCGGAAGGAGGAGGGUUUACUCAGCAAUUUAGUGGGUAUUACAGUAAAGGGCGAAAAGUGGAGUGAUUGAAUUGGGGGAAUUUGAUUUUGGUGGGGUAAAUGGAACUGUGGGUUUGGUGAAGAAGAAGGAUGAACAUGGAGUAAAGCAAAAGAGAGCAUUGCUUUCUUGGCGCUAAAAUUUGCAUUUGGGUGCUCUCUUUGACUGCAAAUGAGCGGUUUAGCUUUGCUUAUCCUCUUUUCAUUUAUUCUUUUUUAUCGGAAAAAGAUCAUAUUUAUCCAUGUUUUAUCAUAUUAAGGUUAUAUUUACUUUUUGUCAUUUUUUUUUAUUCUUGUACUAAAGGUGGAGCUAGAGAUUUAGGGGUUCAUCUACCUACCCUUUCGAACAUUGUAUUACUAUAAAUAGUUAAAAUUAGUUUUAAUGUAUAUGGAUAGCGGCAUCAUGCUUUCUCAUGCUCAUAGGUUAACUAAUCUAUGCAUUCUGGCUAAGGUCUCAAAAACGUGCAUUUCCUUAAUACACAAAUCGCUCGACUAAUGUGAAUAAAUUGUACAGAAUGGUAGAUUGGUUAUAUACUUUUAUGCCCCUUUCUUCUUCGCAUAUUUUGAUGGGUUUAGAGGGGUCAUCCAAAUGAUGGUAUUGUGGAAGUCCUAAACAAGAGUCACUAGCUUAUAUGUUUCUAUAAUCUGAUUAAGUUAACAGGAUCUGGUCCUAUUUUUGCUCUUUUGCUGGUCUAAACAUGGAGGGACUUCAAUUAAGGGAAGUUAUAAUGCUAUUGUAGGGAAUAGAUGUUGGGAAGAAUAUGAGACUUUUCUUUAGAGCUUUACCCAACUUUGUAAUAUGAGAAUUAUGGAGAAAGAGAAACAGGAAACAUAAAGGGGAGAAGAUAUCAAUAGCACGAAUAAUUCACAAUAUCACUAGAAAUAUGUAUAUGUUGGUAAGACUAAAGAAAUCUCGCAUGUCAUGUCCUGUUAAUUGGAUUGAUAUGUUGAUUGAAUUGACAAAUUACAAACCUAAAAUAAGGGCAAAGAGAGUCCUAUGAGAAUUCCCACUAAAUGGGUGGGUGUAAUACAAUACGGAUGAAGCUUCUCAGGGAAAUUCGGGUCUCAGUUCCUAUGCCUUUUGUUUGAGGAAUGAUAAGGGUGAUAUUGAAUAUGCGGAAGGAGCAAGCAUACAUAACACUACCAAUACAGUCGCAGAAGUUAAAGCUAUAUUAGAGGCAUGCAAGCAUUGCAAACAAUCACGACACAGACAAAUUCUUAUCCCGACCAACUCAAUGUUAAGGUACAAAGUGCUAGAAGGAAAGUGGGCAUGUCCAUGAGUAAUUGCAGAUAUAUCGACAGAAAUUAGAGCAUGUUUACAAGAGAAGCAAUUCAAUUUCCAACACAUUCUAAUAAAAGGAAAUAAAUUAGCAGAUCAUUUGGCAAACAUGGUUAUUGACAUAGAGAAUUGCACAUUCACAAGUUUUAAUAGCAUGGAGACUGGGGAAGAGAAUCAUCAACAACGAUAAACUGAUAUGUCUGUACUUGAGAAUAUCACCGUUAAGGUGAUAGGGGGCAAGGAAAGGCUACAUCAUAAAGUUUUCCACAAGCAACAUAAUUACAAAAACAUGUAAGGCAACAAAAAAGGCGAAAUGUUAUUAAGUAAUGUUAUUUCAGCCAACAAAAAGGACUAGGCAAAAUGGAGGAUCUGGAGUCAGGAUUGAAACUUUUAAACCUGGAGGAAGCCAACAACACUCUUAAAGCGUGGCGGAGCAGAGCUACAUUUGCACUCUAUCACGUGGCCACCUGUAGGUAGGGGUGUUCAUGGUUUGGAUAAAAACUGAUCCAAAUCGAAAAACCAAAUCAAACCGAUUUAAUUUGGGUUUUGGUUUGGUUUGGUUUGGUUUUAGAUUGUUAAGAACCGAUAGUAUUUGGUUUGGUUAUGGUUUUGUUCGAAAAAAAUCGAAGAAAUAAUCAAACCGAACCAACAAGUUAUAUACAUAAAUUUUAUUAUUAUACAUACAUAAUACAUUAUAUUCAUAAACAAUUUUAAAGAUUUUAUAUAUGUUUCAUCAAAAUUUAUUUAUAAUUUACUUAUGAAAGAAAAAAUGUCCAAGGUGAGAACAUUUUUCUUAUUGGUUUCAUGUNNNNNNNNNNNNNNNNNNNNNNNNNNNNNNNNNNNNNNNNNNNNNNNNNNNNNNNNNNNNNNNNNNNNNNNNNNNNNNNNNNNNNNNNNNNNNNNNNNNNNNNNNNNNNNNNNNNNNNNNNNNNNNNNNNNNNNNNNNNNNNNNNNNNNNNNNNNNNNNNNNNNNNNNNNNNNNNNNNNNNNNNNNNNNNNNNNNNNNNNNNNNNNNNNNNNNNNNNNNNNNNNNNNNNNNNNNNNNNNNNNNNNNNNNNNNNNNNNNNNNNNNNNNNNNNNNNNNNNNNNNNNNNNNNNNNNNNNNNNNNNNNNNNNNNNNNNNNNNNNNNNNNNNNNNNNNNNNNNNNNNNNNNNNNNNNNNNNNNNNNNNNNNNNNNNNNNNNNNNNNNNNNNNNNNNNNNNNNNNNNNNNNNNNNNNNNNNNNNNNNNNNNNNNNNNNNNNNNNNNNNNNNNNNNNNNNNNNNNNNNNNNNNNNNNNNNNNNNNNNNNNNNNNNNNNNNNNNNNNNNNNNNNNNNNNNNNNNNNNNNNNNNNNNNNNNNNNNNNNNNNNNNNNNNNNNNNNNNNNNNNNNNNNNNNNNNNNNNNNNNNNNNNNNNNNNNNNNNNNNNNNNNNNNNNNNNNNNNNNNNNNNNNNNNNNNNNNNNNNNNNNNNNNNNNNNNNNNNNNNNNNNNNNNNNNNNNNNNNNNNNNNNNNNNNNNNNNNNNNNNNNNNNNNNNNNNNNNNNNNNNNNNNNNNNNNNAGUUCUGUAAUGCCAGUCAUUCUAACUAUUUUUUUGUUUGAAUGGAUUGUUGUCACUUUUUUCACGUUUUGAAUGAAUUGUUUCUUUUAUUUUUAUGUAUGGUUAAUAACCGAAAAACCGCAACCGAACCAAAACCGAAAACAACCAAACCGAUAAAUGUAUAUUAUAUUUGGUUUUGAUAAUUUUAAAACGAUUAAGUUGGUUUGGUUUUGGUUUUGACCAAUAACCGACCCAAAACCAAACCGUGAACACCCCUACCUGCAGGAAGAUAGUGAGCAGAGAUACCAGAGGAAAAGGAAAAAAUGGAAAAUAAGCGAGAGGACUUACCAAAUGAAGAGGUUGUCCUCUUUUAUACAAGAUUCAACAGCAAAAAAACAACGAACACAACCCAUGAAACCAGAGAGCACAACUAGAAAAGAACAAUGAAGUCAUAAAGAAGAAAGGAAUCAGAUAACAAGAUACUUACUCUUGUUAGUUGUUCUCACGUUGAUAAUUCAUAUAAGAGUAGGCGGAAAGCUGGAUUGGUCCAAGGAGGCAGCAUCCUCAAAAGAAAAAAUGGAAAUCAAGGAAAGAGGAAGAGAAAGAGAAAGCGGCGAAGGUACAAAGAGGAGUGAAGGGGGACUAAUUAGAAACCCUACCUUGGAAUAGAUAUAUAUCCUUAUCCUGAUUGGGUUGGGCCUGAGUUUUACUCAUUUCUGUUGGUUAUUUUUCUUAUUUUAGUAAUGAGCUUGUUAGGAUUGGGCUUUGCCCGUGGAGGUGUAAGGAGAUGUAACUUUUUUUUCCUUUUCCUUGUUUUGCAAAGGCAUGAAUAAAAGAUCAAAUUUUGCAAGAAAAAAAAAUCUUCGCACAUUUUGGUAUGUAUUGCCUCCUAGGUAUUAAUUAGAUCAACCAGACAAGAAACUCAAUUUCGCACUAUUGAUGAGUUGUUGAAGUUAUCCACCAAGAAUUUUCUGAAUUUUUUGUGGAUUGUGUUGGGGGAAAUCUACCUGGUAGAUGUACGAAACAAACUAUAUCUUAAAUCUUUUCUCUUUUUUUUUUUUGGAACAAACUACAUCUUAUAUAAUUUAUUAUAUAAAUAUAAAGUUCAAAUUCUAUGAAAAAGGUACUCAUUUAAGUUCGUAACAACUUUUUAACUUCUAAAGAGGUCAAUCUUUUUCAAAUAUACAACUCGAAUUCUGAUAAUAUAGUUAGGCUCUUGUAUCGAUCCGAAUAAAUCAUACUUUCCACGAAGGUAAAUCUUUGUCAGGAAAAUUUAAGGCCAAACACAUACACAACCGCUCAAACUUGCCCUCAUUUUUCAUUUUGGCACUCCAACUUAGCCUUGUUCCAUUUUAACCCUUAAACUCCAUUUUUAUGUACCAUUUAAACACUUAUAUUAAUUUUUAUGAUUUGUUUUUAUUUAUGUUUUUCAAUUGCAAUUUCUUAUUUUUUAAAAAUAGACGUGUGCUUGUUAAUUUUCGUAAAAAAAUUAAACAUUCGCGAACAAACAUUAAAAAUUUCAAACAAUAAUAUUAUUUUUUGAGAUUUCUUUGUAUUUUUGCAUGAAAAUAAAUUGACAAAAGUUUUUUGAUUCUCUUUCUUAAACAUUCAAUUAAAUUAAAUAACACUACUUAUUUAUUUUUUCUUAUCAUCUAGGCUAUCUAAAUUUAACGCAAAUACUCACUUUUAAUUUUAAUAUAAUCAAUACGAAUAAAAAAACCCAUCUUCAAAAAAGACUCGAUUGACUUUGUUAAUAACACUACUAAAAAAAGAUUCUUGUUCAUUGCUAAUAACACUACUAAACAAUGUUAAAACUCGAUUGACUUUGUUAGGUUGUCGGUGAUUUUAAAGAAAGAAAACGAACACAAUUUCAUCGGUUAUUUUUCACACAAAAAUACAUAACACUCUUAAAAAGAAAUUAUUAUUUUUUAAAAAGAAUUAUUUUUUGUUGAUUUUUAAUUUUUUAACUAAAAUUAAUUAACACAUGUCGAUUUAAAAUAAGAAGUUGCAAUUGAAGAAUAUAUAUAAAAAUAACGAAAUCAUAAAAAUAGUAUUUCGUGUUAUGAUGGUAUAUAAAAAAUAAAGUUUAAGGGUUAAAAUGGAACAAAGCUAAGAUAAAGUGUCAAAAUGAAAACUACGAACAAGUUAGAGAGGCUGUAUAUGUGUUUGGCCAAAAUUCAAUGGACAAACCAUGAAAUACAUAGGGCAAAGACAAUAAAUUUUCUACAAAAAUAAAUUGAGAUACUUUUGGGCCCAAUAACAUCAGUCUAUGCAAGAAAGAAACAUUUUCAUUCAAUUCUUUGCUAUCUUGAACGUACUAAUUACUAAUUAAUGAAAAUACGCAAUAUAAAUUCGUGAAAAAAAACAUUCAAUUACUUACUUCAUUUCAAAUUAUCGAUCAUAUUUUUUUUACAUAUUCCUUAAAAACAGUAAUUUUGAGGAAUUUUAAUUGUUUUACCCUUAUUUAUAUAUAUAUUUCAGACAUAAUAUCUCUUCAUUACUCUAUCUAUGUGUCAUCGCCUCAUAAGUCAUAAUUGAAAUGUCUAUAUUCUUCAAAAACAAUUAUGGAGUAUUAAUUAAAGUUAAAAAAUAAAUAAAAAAUAAAUAAAAAUAAUAUAUAUAUAUAUUGAACUUCUAAAAUGACAAAUAAUUUGAGAUAAUUAUUUUUAAGAAUCACGAUAGAUAAUUUGAAACUAAUGAAGUAUUAAUAGUGUAUCCUGAUUAAUUAGCAAUUUAAAACUUAAUUAAUUAAGAAUCAUAAUAUCUCGACAAGUUCAUUAAUCAUUGCAUGUAUGUUGAAAGCAACUCAACGCUUGGAUUUUUGUCUUUGACACCUCCAUGUUGUUGUACCUCAAAGUCUUGUCCUUUUCAAUUUCAUUAAUUUUAUUUUUAAACAAGACAAGUUAUUUAUAGAAUAAAAGAAGACAGUCUGAAGUAUUACUUAUAGAAUGAAGUAGACGUUUGGAUGAUAUUUGAUUGAAUUAAUAUAUAUAUAAAAAAAUGAAGUUGAACAAUUAAAAAAAAUGGCAUUAGUACUACUACAAUUAAAAAAAAAAAAAAAAAACAUUAGUGGCAAUAGAUAUUGUAGUAUUGGAGCGAAAAUAUUUAGCGGUAAUUGAGUUAAAGUUAUUGUAUUUAAAGUUGCUUAAGUCUUUAGCGGUAUUUUUUACAUGGAAUACUAUUGAUUAUAAAUAUUCAUAUUUAUUAUUAUCCCUAAAUAAUAAUAUUAUUGCUAAAUAAUUGCCACAAAAAUUUUUAUUUGUUGUAGUGUUAGUCCUCGAGUAGUUGUGACAAAUUAUAAUGUUUUAAAUUCCAUAAUUUCCUAUAUAAAAUGACCAAGGAUAUAUAUUUUAAUUAAUUGAACGUUAAAUGUACUCAAUCAACCUGACCAAAAUCAAAAUUCAUCAAUAACAGAAGAAAACAAAUGUAAAUUAUCUACUAAUAAAAUUAUAUUUCUGUAACGGUACAAAUCUUUUGGGGAUCCUUGUCACUGCAAAUUAAAUUAAUUUACCUCAAGUUUUGUGGGUUGACUCGUCUCUAUCAUAAUUAUAGAGCCAUUUUUGGAUUUUAAAAACGAAACAAAAAAAAGGAUUUAUAUAAUCAUAAGAAAGAAUUAAUAGCCGCAAAAAGAAAAAAUAAAUUUGAUCAUGUACAAUUAAAUUAUUAAUCACAGCCGGCUUAUUAAUAGUUAAAUUAGCUAUAUCAUUUAGAAGCUAAAUAAUGCAACAUCUUUUGUUUUUAAAUUUUUUAAAAAAGGACAGAUACUAUAAUAAUUAUAAAAUAAAUAAACGAAGAUCAAAAAGGACGAUUCUGUUGAAUUAUUUGAUUAGUAUGGCGUGUGGGUGAUAAUUUUAAGAAUUUGUAUUUUGACUUUCCACCCAAUAUUUAAUAUUUAUAUUGAAAAUCGAUUAAAUUUAAAUUCAUGCAUAUAAAAUUCAUUAUAGGGGACUGACGCUUUUAACUUUUUUUUUUUUUUUUGUUAGAAGUUCAAAUUUGAAACCUUUAAUUAAUAAAGAUCAAAGGUGGUGUAAUACAACUCAUGAUGGUAUAAUUUUAGGAGCCUAAUCAAUUCAUUUCAUAGUCCUUAUUUAUUUUGUUGUCCUCUUGCUCUUUAUUCUAGAAUAGUAUUAUUGAGAAAGUUUUUUUGCAGACAACAAAAAAAAUAAAAAUAAAAAUAAGAGAAGUAGUAUUUUUCAGUGUGAAUUUUUUAACUUACUAGUGAAUUGUAAUUUCUAAUAGGUUGGAUAUGGUAGAUAUGAAGAGAAGUAGAGGUGGACCGAAGAAGUAUUGAUAAGAGAUAAUUAGAAAAGACAUGACAUAUUUACCGUUCACCGAGAAUAUGAGCCUAAAAAGGAGAAUAUCGAGGUCAAGAAUAGAUCAUUAAUUUUAGAUAUCCUUAAGAGUAGAUUAAGGAAAACUAUAGUAAUGAAACUUAAUUGCAACUUAAAAGGAGAUGGAGACAUCCUAUUAAAGGAAAUGUUAGAAUUUAAAUCUUGACAAGAGAUAAUGAGAUCAAUAAGAGAUAGAAAAACUAUUUUGACAAAUUAUUCAACUCAAACAAGGAGAAUAACAUUUUUUUAGACUUCCGCGUGUCAAUAGAAACUUUAGAUGCACUUGUAGAAUUGGAUCGACAUAGAUAAAUGAUAUUAUGAAAAAUAUAUAAAGCUUGUGGUCCUGAUAUUAUAUAUCCUUAUAAAUAUUUGGAAGUUUCUUGGAGAUAUAGGAAUAUAAUGAAAUGAUAAACCAAGUUAUAUAUUAAAUGAUAUAGUAGUAUUAAGAAGUGGUAGAAUGUUUGAUGAGUGAAGAAAGAGUAUCCUGAGUUUGAUUUAUAAGAACAAAUGAGUUAUUCAAAGUUAUGUGAACUAUCAUGAUAUUAAAUCUGUGAGUCAUAUGAUUAAAAUCUAGGAAAAGUGAUGGAAUUAGGGGUGUACAUGGCCGGGUUGGUUCGGGUUUUUUUAAAUAUCAAACCAAACCAUUUGUGUCGGAUUUUUAAAUCUAUAAAUCAAACCAAACCAAUAAAACUCGGGUUUUUCAACUUCGGGUUUUUUCUGGAAAAGUAUUCAUACAAACAUAUAAUUUACUUGUGUUAAAAUAUUUCUUUAGUCCUACCAAAAUACAACUAUCUAAGGUGUUUCUUAAGAAAAUAAUACAAAAUAUUAUAUGAGUAAUGAUACUAAAAUAUCCAACAAAAAAUAAUAAUAAUAAUAAUGAAAUCGCGUAAAACAAAUAUUGCAAAUUAACAAGUCAUAAUGAAAAUGAUCAUAAUUUAAAAGUACUAAAUCAUGCUAAAAUAAAUUUAAUAAGUAUUAGUUACAUGACUAAAUAUUAAAGGAAAUAAAAUUAGAUUAUGUAUUUUAAUAAACCAAUGUAAAACCAUAGAACAAAUAUUCAAUAUUAUUGUCAUUCUUGGUGUUGAAUUGAUUAUUUUUGUCCUUUAGUAUUAAUUUAAUUUUGAUUUAAGCUUUAUUAUAAUUACCAAUAUCUGUGGACUAUAAUCUUUAUUGAACCAUUUUAGAAUUUCUAAGUUUCAAACUUGAAAUAAUAAUAUAUUAAAAGAUAAAAACUAUAGAAAAAGUAUAAAGAAAUUAAUUUUAAAAAAUUAUAUACAAAAGUAAAUUAUUUUUAUGUAUAAAUAAAAAAUUUAAAUUAUAUAUAUAACAUCGGGUUGGUUUGGUCUCGUGUUGUUUUUUUUUAGUUUAAACCAAACCAACCCAAAUAUAGUCGGGUUUUUUUUUCAAUUACCAAACCAAGUCAAACCAAUCACUAGUCGGGUUUUUUUUCUCGGUUUGACUCGAUUUGCAGUUUGAUUCAAUUUUCGAUUUGAUUUUGUACACCCCUAGAUGGAAUGUAGACAUAAAAACAAGACAAAAGUGAAAGAGAACCAGUAAGAGUAUGACAUGUAAAUGUUAAGAUAGAUGUGUGCACAUAAAAUAGAGAUACAAUGCGCAAAUAUUGCUCUAAUGGUUUGGACAUGCUCUACCGACCUUUAGAUGCACUAAUUUGUAGAUGUGAAACUAUGAAAAGUGAAAAUGUUACAAGAGAAUUUGAUAGACUUAAAAGAUCAAAUAAAAGAAAGUUAUCUAGAAAGACCAAUAAAUAUCUGGAAUUAAUGUAAGAUAAUGAUCCAUAUAAGUAAUAAUAUCUACUAGUUGAGGAUAGAUUUCAAAGUUGCUAGAAAACUUUUAAUAUGAUUAAAGUUAUCUUCGUAUGAUCUAUAGGUUAUGAGUUUGAGUCAAAUUUGUGAAAGCAAACACUAAUGCUUAUAUUAGACACUACCGUAGAUAUUAUCGUUGCAAAAAUCCAUAAUCCCAUUUAUGUAACGUGGGCAAGAUGUCACGUCCCUCUCUUUGGUGAUAGCUACUAAUUUUGCAAAGGAGGGAACAUUACAAUAUGUCAAUCACACUUCAAUGCUUUAUUUGUUCAUAAAAAUUUAAUUAUAUUAUGGCUCUCUCAAUGUCCUUCCAAUUGCAUUUAUCUUUGCUAGGUCCCAUCACUUCUCAAUUUUCUUGUUCAAUUUAAGUUACAUAUUCUUGUCUUAAUUUUAUGUGAGGUAGCUUUAUUUGAUAUGUAAUUUAAGAAAAAUAGAUUUUUUUGAAAUUUGUGGUCUUGUGAUGCACUCAUUUUCGUUACAAGAAUGAAAUGAUGCUCUAUUUUGACUCGAGUUCAAGACUCCUUACAACUCGCACUAAUAGCAACACUGAGCAACCGGAGAUUGAUUGAAAAGGAAGGUUCAGCCAACCCUCUCCCCUAACCACCUAACUACUCGUGUUUGUAGCUCGAUGAAGGUCAAGACCGUAGUCCGACGGAAAAACAGUAGUCGUAUGUAUCAAGUGAUACGUGAAUCUCCUCCGAGAUUCAAUUUUUUUUAAUUUUCUUAAUUUUAUGUCAAGUCAAAAUAGAACAAAUAAAGUUAAAUAAUGAAAGUAAUAUUUUUUAUGUUAUAAAGGGUCAUUAUCAACAAAGAAAGAAGUUUAAAUCAUGUUAUUUUCAGCUCUUAAUCAAACAGUUACUAACUUGUAUCUAACAAGUUGAACAGAAAAAAAAUCUUUAGACAACAAACAUCAAGUGGGACACAAUAGUAGGAGACAGGAGAAAAAAAAUGAUGAAAUUAAUAAAGAGAAAAAUAAAAAUUGAAUUAGGUCAAUUCUGGCUGGAAGGGAAAAGUAAAACAACCAUGAAACGAUGCAGUGCGAUAAAUGAGAUUUCUUUAUCAUUAAUCAAAGUUCAAUUUAUAGGAAAAAGAGAAGUUUGUGGUAAAGUUUCUUUCAUAUUUUCAUCUUACUUUAUAUAUCGUGAAUUUAGAUUAAUCAACCGUUGAACUUUUAAUGUUAGAUUGUUAUUAAAAGGAGAAAAAGGUAAAAGAGUUUUUGGAUUGAUGAUUUUGUGCUUUGUGGGCUAUACACAAGAGGCAGCAGGUGCAGCAUAAAGAGAAAAAGAGGUGGCAGUAAUAUUGAUGAGGUCACAAAGGCUUUUAAUCUAGCAGUGGGGCAUCAAGAGCUCUUACCUUUAAUAAGUAUGUGUGAGAAUUUUUUUGGGUUCAAUAUUUGCGUUGAAGUUUCGUUGAUUUGAAUUUAUAUCAUGUAAAGUUUCAUUUGGAUAAAAACGUUUCUUGUCAAAAAAAAUUCUAUAUCUGAGGUUCAAGUUUGAAAUCUCUAAUUAGGUACGAGUAGCAUUAUCCACUACAUCACAUUUUUUGAUGUUGACUAUGUAUGAGAUUUGAGAAUGAGUAAAGUAACAUAAUGUACAAUAAUUUUUUGUUCGAAGCGUAUAAUAAGAACACUUUAUCAUGUAUUAAAGUGUAUAAUAAGAACUGAUACAUAUUGUUAUUCAAAAAUUUAAAUAAAAUUUAGUGAUGAAAUUAAGGGCUAUUGAUAUAUUGUAUCUAUUUUAACUUUUUAUUUGGUCAUAUUUGUUGUGUCAUUAUAUUUCUAAAAACAUAGUACAUUUACUUCUCGUGAGAAACUUCUUUUAAAAAAUAUUACUUGAACUCUCAUCUUCAAAAUUUAACACGCAUUAUCCAAAGUUAAAUGACCAUCUACGUUUCUAACUUCUUAAUUAGAGAUUCCAAAUCUGAAUACUAUAAAAAUGUUUUUCCUUUUCUUAGGAGGACGUAAAUUCAAAUUAAUCGGAUCAAUAAAUUUUCAAAUAUCAAUACACAAAACAAACAUCAAGGUCUCUUAUAUAUAUCAACAACAAAGAAGGCACCCAUCCUUAUUCACUCUUGUCUUGUCCUUGUCUCUGUCUCUGUCUCUGUCUCUUAAGCCUUCUUCAUUAUUUUCAAAGUUAACUUUUGUUUAUUAGUACUAUUACUAGCAAAAAAAUUGUAUUUCUCAUUAUAGUUAUGCUGUUUUAACUUAAGUACAAAUUACAGAAAUUCAUAGAAAGUCGACAUCAAAAAUUCUGUUAAAAAGAAAAACAGAAUGGGUUAGGCUAUCUAUUCUUGUUUUUUCUUGAUUUUUUUUUGUUUUAGCAACACAAAGCUGGAAUAUAAUAAGGUUUUGAGUCUGGAUCCUCAUAAGAAGAAGAAUCAUUAUCAAAAUGUAGAAGAAGAUGAAGAAGAAAAAGAAAAAAAUCAAGAACAAGUUUUUCAAUUUCAACAACCUUUUUCUCAUCAUGAUCAUUUUAUGUAUCAAGAUUUAGAUAAGAUCAAACAACAAGCUCAAUCCAAGAAACGUUCUUAUGUUCCUCCUCUUCCUCGUCCGAAGCAAAAAGUGGGAACAUCGUCAAGAUUUGGUGGUGGAGAGAUUGUUGAAGUACAAGGUGGUCAUAUCAUAAGGUCAAUUGGUCGAAAAGACAGACACAGCAAGGUGUGUACAGCUAAAGGUCCAAGGGACAGGCGUGUGCGUCUUGCUGCUCAUACAGCUAUUCAAUUUUAUGAUGUACAAGAUCGACUUGGCUAUGACAGGCCAAGUAAAGCUGUGGAUUGGCUUAUUAAAAAGGCUAAAGCUUCUAUAGAUGAGCUAGCUGAAUUGCCCCCUUGGAAACCAACCACUGGUGUUACAACCUUUGAUCAAGAAAAAGAUGUUGAAGACGAUGACAAUAAUGGUCAUUUUGUUGGGACAACUAGUAAAAGUUCAAUGAUAAUGUUAGGCCAGAAUAAUAGUGCUAGCUCAAGUGGUGAAAAUGCAAAUGGAAGUAAUUUUUUGCCUCAUUCUUUAGAUUCUGAUGCCAUUUCUGAUACUAUUAAGUCUUUUUUCCCAAUGGGUGGUGGUUCAACUGAAGGUAAUUCUUCAGGUAUGCAGUUCCAGAGUUUCCAAGAACAUAACUUGUUGUCAACAACAAGUAGCCAAAGCCAAGAUUUGAAGCUCUCUUUACAGUCUUUUCAAGAUCCUGUUUUGCUUCAUAACCACCAAAUAGAACAAUCACAAGCUCAGUUUCAAGCAUCAAAUUUCUUUACUGGAAGCACCCCACUUAUCGGAUUUGAUGCUUCAGUCUGGCCUCAGCCUCAGACUCAACACCAGCAGCAGCCAGUGGAACUCGGUCGAUUGGCUGCUGCUCGUGGUGCCGGUGGAUACACUGGCAUGGCUUUUGGUGGCGGGGCAAUUGCUGGAGCAAAUAGUUACUUGUUUAACUCUCAGCCUGCCCCGCCACUACUACAACAAUUGUUCAGCCAAAAUCAGUUUUUGUCUCAGAGGGGACCCCUUCAGUCCAGUUACUCACCUUCGAUUCGUGCAUGGAUAGAUCCAUCAGCGAUUGCUAUUGCCACAGCUGAUCCAAUUCAUCACCACCAACACCAUGUGUUGCCUAUGUAUUCAACAUCAGUUUCUGGUAUUGGAUUCGCCUCAGAAGUAGGCGGAUUCUCUGGCUUUCGCAUUCCUACACGAAUCCAAGGUGAAAUAGAGGAGCAUGAUGGUACUUCCGACAAACCAUCCUCUGAUUCUCGCCAUUGAAUUAGCUCGACAACACACUCUCCCUUUAUCACCUGACAGGUAAAUCACUUCACCAUUUCAAAUUCCAUUGUAUUCUACCAGCAUUCUUGAAACGUUGUUUACUGUUACAUUGAGCUUCAUUUUCAGGAAAAAGUACUAUACAUCAAGAUGGAAAUGAGAAAGGACAAGUCAGAGAAAGGGCGAUAAUUCAUUUAUCAAGUCUGAUUCAGUGGCAAUGCAUUGCGGAAGAAGAAUCCUGAGCAUAGUUUCAGGUUUUUUUUAAAGAUUAAAUCGCGGUGUAGUAUUCAUGUAUAAGUGUGAUUUUUCUACCUCAACUGCUAAUUUAGGAUUGCUUAUGUAAUUCUGUUGCCAAGUUGUUGUUGUUGUUGUUUGCUUAUUAUCUUCAGUUCAUUAGAACAAGUAAUUUUCUCUUGAAUGUUUCUAUUAAAUCUUGAAUGCCAAUUCUUGUCAACCUUACUGCUUUGGUAUGCAUUGAAGUUGAUUGUGCCCUAUUAAGUUUCAAAAUAUGAGAUGCUUAUGGAACGGCUAUGUUGCUCAGACCCUUCGUGUCAGAUCCUUUAAAAGUUUGCUACUUUUAGAGGAUUAGACACUCAUUCAUCGAUAUUUUUGAAGAGUCUAAGCAACAUAUCAUGACAAAGCGUUCUUUCUUUUGAUUGAUUGAUUGAUUGUUGUUUUACAACAUUCUUACUGAAAUAGUUCAUGUUUCAAUGACUUCUUUAAGUCCUCUAAAAGGAACUGUAAGUUACCUUAAUCUUUUAACAUCCCUAUCACUGCAUUGCAUGGAGUUUUGUGAGAGUAUUAAAAGUGUAAAGUCAUUUUCUGUGAACAGUUAAAGUAAUUAAGGUGUGGUUUUACAAGACUUGUCUUAUAGCUAGCUUCUUCUCUAAAUUUCUUAUUGAAGUAACUUAUUCUCUUAACCAUAAACUGAAAUGCUUUCCCACCUCAUACUUGCAAAGUCUACAUAUUUGUUAUGCCCUCUAAUUUGGCAUCAUCUGACAUUUACAUCCUCAAAUUUUGAAGCGUAAGUUGAAUAAGUAGACACAUACCUCCUAUGUGAUGUUCUAGUAAAAUGUUUGUGCUUAAUUAUUAAACUUUAUACGAGUUGGAGAGUAUAAAUAUCAGUUAAGAGUAAAGGCAAAAUAUGUGGAAUGAGAAUUCUCUAGUUGUCAAUUGGAAAACCUUAUGAUGUGAUGGAAAAUAGAGGGUCUUAUUUUACAUCAAUUUGUAACAGCAACAUGUCCUCCAAUUCUUCAAUAGUGGGGUCAGCCACUGCACGUGGAUAGAAGGUUGUAGUAGAUCAGCCAAGUGUGUGGCCUAGUGUCAGUUAAUAUCUAGUAGAGACAAAAACAAAAUAUGGGCAAUUAAUUCCUUCUUAUUUACUUUUAAAAAAUUGGUAGAUAGAGAUAUUUAUUGUAGUGUUGAGAGAUAACAAGUAUCACGUAAAAUAAUCGAGGUUAUUAAUUAAAAGAUAAAAGGCAUCACGUAAAUUAAUCAAGGUUAGUAUAAAUUGAUAUGAAUAAAAUACAAUUAGCAGAGUUACACACUUUAUGUAUUUUUGAGGAGUACUGAGAGGUAUCAUGUAAAUUAAUUGAGGUCAGUGUACGUUGAUUCAGAAUAAAGUUAUAUAUAUAAUUUGUGUUAUUAGGAGAUAUACUAGCAUAUAUGAGAUAAAUUAGUCGAGGUCAUCAAAUAUCAGUAAAUAGAAUUAUUUGAUAUAUGUGUUAUUGAGAUAUGUUGGUAUGAAGUAAAUUAAUCAAGAUCAAUUCAAAUUGACUCAAACAUCAAUAAACAAAGUUAUUCAAUAUUUGCGUUGUUAAGAGGUUGCAUGUAUGAGAUAAAUUAGUCGAGGUCAUUGAACCCCAGUAAAUAUUGAGUUAUUUGAUAUAUGUGAUAUUGAGACAUAUCAAUAUUAAUAAAUAGAGUUAUUCGGUAUUUGUGUUAAUUGGUGGUAGAAUUAAGUGGGGCUAGCUAGAAUUGAAAGAGAAUGAGAGAGUGAAGGAAUGCAAUCAAUUUCUUUUAAAAAAGAUGAAACAUAAGUUUUUAUAGUGAAGAAACUAGAGAGGCAGAUACCACCAAAAGCAUGGUACUCUGCAAUGAAUUUUUUUGUUGCCCUUUAUUAUACUGCACAGCUCAUUAGUGUCAUAAAAAAAUCUGUCUAGCUGUAUGUCAUUCCUCUUCUUUUUUUUUAAUUAUUUGUUAUUGUUUGUCUCUUUACAGGAAAAAUUAAAUUCACUUAGAACUCAUGACUUCUAUCAAGAUAGUGACCAUUGCUUAAUGGUUGUUGUCUCUUAUUUAUGAUGAUUGAUAAGUUACAUCAUCCGUUCCAUAUUAGUUGAUCAUUUUUCAUUUUAUAUGAUGUUUAAGAAAUCAUAACUAAAAAAAAUAAUUAAAAUUUUACAAAAAAAUUAAUUACAGAGAUAAUAUAAGAAAAUUCUAAUUAAUGCUUUGUUAAUUUAGUAGGGUAGACAACUAAUAUGGAACAAUUUAUUUUUAGUAUAAUGAUCGACUAGUAUGGACGGAGGCAAUAUUAGUCAUAAGGCAAGAAUGAUGCUUUUAUAUAUAUAUAUAUAUAUAUAUAUAUAUAUUCUUGAGAAUUGAAAUUUGUAUUGUUUUAGUUUUAAAGCUUGAGCAUGAUUAACUUAGAUUUCUAAUAUGAGAAAAUUUCAUGUAUACCAAUAGUUCCACACCUAAUUACUUAACAUAUCGAUAGUUUGUAUAUUUAUGAAACGUGUAACUAUAUUGUAUUUGUGCGCAAGUGAAAUACAUUAUAUGUACGUGCAUAAUAAUAGUAAAAUGUGCAUUGUAUUAAUAUGUAUAUAAUAUUUUUAUAGUAGAAUACAUUGUAUAUGUGUGCGUAACAAUAAAGAAAUACAUUAUCUGCAUAUAUAUUAUCUCUGUCUAACUGUAUUUGUGUAUAUCUGCUAUAAAAGUCUCAAACUAUCGUUAUAUUAUGUAAAAAAUUUAAACUACCUAUUGGCUAUUCGGAUAAAUUUAGAGCCUGUUUGGAUUGACUUAAAAGUUGGUCAAACCUACUUUUAAGUCAGUUUUUGACUUCUGAAAGUGUUCGUCAAAUAUAAAAAAUAAUUUAAAAUAAGUCAAAAAUGACUUAAAAUAAGUUGGGAAGUAUUUGGCAAGGUAAAAAUGACUUAAAAUAAGUCAAAAACCAAAAGUAAGUCUUCCCUUACUGUUUAUUUUUUUGAUUUAAAAGUCAUUUGACUUUUUAUUUUUGACUUAAAAGCUACUUUUUUUAAAUCAAUUCAAACGGGCUAUAAGUCCCUAUAAACAUACAUGUCGUGUGAUAGUGUUGUCCAUGACUAGACACUCAAACCCUCAUAUUCAAUUAACUCAAUGGGCAUGAGGUCUUUAUUGCCUCCUUAUAAAUAAAUGAUCGUCGUGCUCGUCUUGAAUUUGAUCGUACCUUUUUGGGUUGGUCAAGUCCAUGUAAAGUUGACCCCAGUGAAAAAUGCUACUUGAUUGAUCUUGCCAGUAAUCAUAUGCUUCAAGUAGCUAGUGAAAUAGUUUUUCAACAUGAAAGCAACACAAAUAUUAUACUCUUAUAGUCUUUGGGAGGACAAUUUUUCUCUUCAUAUAGCAAUAAAAUAUAAUUAUAAGUACUAAGAUUAUUAUAGUGCAAGUGCUUGGGAUGUCAUACAUUUGUUGGUAUCAAAAUGGACAAUUGAGAAAUUGUAAUGCUUGUAUAAUGGAGUCAUCACCAAUAUGAAUUGUCACAUAAAAACAGCAUAAACCAAAAAUUACAUAAAACAAAGUUUCCAUCACCACACUAAAAUAUACAAAGCCAAAUUAAUAAUAAACAUGUCAAUCAACCAAAAGAGUAUAGAUAUUCAAGUAGUAAUAAGUAAGUUGAGUUUGCCAAUCAAAUAUUAGUCUCUUGAGAAACUUGAUUUUCAUUAGUAGUGAUGGACAACUUUCUUCCUUUUGUAGAUUCUUUUCCAUUGGAAAUGGAUAGAUUUUUAAUUGAUACAACUAGUUUCAUAGGUCCCAAGUUUGUAGCUUUACUAGUUAUCUUGGCAACUUGUUGAGAGUGAGAGAUUUUUGGAACAAUAGGGUUUGUUUGAACUCUAGUCUCCCAUGGUCGAACCGCGAUCCAACGUUCCAUCCAACUCCAACCCCAACUCUCCUUGCCAAGAUCAUAAUAUGCUUGUCCAAAAUAUUGAUUCGAAUUGGCUCUCCACUGAAACAUGUAUAAUGUUGGAAUCAAAAUGAUCAGAUAUCAUGCAGAAACGACUCAAAUAUUAGAUAAUGAUGAUAGAUCAUGAGAGAAAUAUACUAAAGGAGAAAGACAAAUUUAACGUGUUUCAGUCAAUUAAUCUACAACCAGAAGAUGAUCAGUUAUCCACUAUAUAUCUUUUAAAUAAUAUGAAAGACAAUAUAAAAUUCAGAGAAUACCCUCAUAAAAUUCAUUCUCAAAGAGUUCACAAAGCAUAAAUAUUUUUCUACAAAUCAUUAUACAUUUUGAUUGAGUGAUAAAUAAACAUUUGUCACUUAUUCAAACAUGUAUAGAAGUUGAUAUUUGUUAUAUUAUGAUAACCUUCAGAUAAAACAGAACAAUAACAUUUUAAAUAAACUGAAUUAAAUGAAAAAUACAAAAAAAAAAGUUAUAAUCUAAUUUAAAAUAUUGUUUUUUAUUUAAUAAUCUCCGCGCAACGCGCGGGCGCGAAUAUUAGUUCUCUAUAUUUGAAAGUCUACAUAGUGGACCUUACUAAGUGAAAAAGAAAAAGUCUUGCCAAGAAAGGAAAAAGACGAAUACAAUAGAUUUUUAUAUUUCUUGACUUAGAAAGAUAAAAAUCAAUUUUGAUAAACAUAUUAUUUUUCUUUAAUAAAAAUAUAUAUUAAAUAUGAUAAGAAAAUCAUGAUAGACAAAUUAAAAAGGGGUCAUAGCUAACUUGCCUGAUGAGAAAAUGCAUAUGCCAUUGCCCUCUCCCUCUUAAUUGCAGCUUCUUCUCUUUGUUGUAAUUUCUGUAGUAUUUCUUCUAUGGUUUCAGCACUACUACUCCAUUCCACCUAUUUAUUAAAUUAAAAUUGAGUGACCAUCUAAGUGACGUUGGCGUAGUCAUAAGCAGUUCAGGAUGAUUAGUUAAACACUCCUCAUUAGGAAAUUUAUUAUAUACACAUGUCAAAGUAAAAUUUACAUAUAUUAUACAUUGAAAAUUCUUUAACGGAAUUUUUGACUUUGUCACUAACUAUCUCCAAAGCAACUACUUAACUUCUUAAUGAGACAUCAUAUGAGUCAAUGCUCUACGGUUGAUCUGAAUUGAAUUUUUAGUCUGUUUGGCCAAAUUUUUAAAACCUGCUUAUGCAAAUACUUUUGGUGAGAAACAAUUUGUGUUUGAGUAAUAAAUUUAAAAAGUUUUUAUGAGCAACAAUUAGUGUUUGGUUAAGUUUUAAAAAAAUAUUUUAAAGUGUAUUUCUCUCGAAAGUGUUUUUCAAUAAUAUACAAAAAAUUAUAGAAGUUCACUAAUCAACAGUAAUAUUUAAAAUAACUUCUAAAAUAUACAUAAUUUUAAAAUCAUGACUAAACUUCAGGAAAAAUCAUGUGUAUAUAUGUAUAUCUAUCUUGAGAAAUUAAUAGAAAUUAGAAUAUAAUUAACAGUGUAUCCAUGAGGAGCAUAGGAGUGCAAGUGUAUUGCUGGUACAAGCCAAAGAAACUACCUGCAUGAUGACUUGGGUCCGAAUUCAGCUAGAGCCUUAUUUCAUUAUUAUUAUUUUAAAUUUAUCUUAAAACUCAUAUUUAAACUAAAUUUUGAAUUCGUCUCUGAUAUCGUAUAUUAAACGCAAACUUAACUUGCAAUCCACAUGAUGACACCCUAAGAAUGUGAUAACUUAUUGGUUGUUGUAAUAAAUGGGACAGGCAAGGGGGGUAUGGUUGUGUUGUGAACAAGACAAUAUGCAGGAGUGGGAAGUGAAAGGGAGGUUAUUAUAACAAGACAAGAUUUUGAUCAAUUGAUGGGAUGUGUGGGAGAUGACAGAAAAUUCAGUAGCAUAAUUGAGAAACAUUGGGUCAGGUCUAUUCAUAAGUGAUGAUACUCAAUUUAUUAGUUUCAUUAGUUUGUCUUUCUCUUAAAUCCUAUCGAUAUAUUACAAAUACAUCGUUAUAAAUAGUGAAAAAUAUAAUUUUUCCAUCGUAAUAUGAUGACUAGGGUUUGUAUAACUUAAAUAAUAUUUAGAUUAUGGACACAUGAAAUUUAUCUGAAAAAAUUUGACAAUUGAUUAUUUAAGUUAUGAUUGUUGCAGAUUCUCUCUAAUCCCUAGAAAAAAUUACUCUAAAAAGAGGAUAAACUUUGAAUAGAAUGAAUUGAAGUUGGGUUGUUAUUUGAUGUAUUAUUUAACGGUUGAAAUUUUUUCAUCUUUAAUUAAAUAUUUGAACAAUGAAAACAAAAAAAAAAUCUGAUAAUAACCCCUUGAUGGGAUGUAAACUAAAAUUAAUCAAACCAAUGAAUUUCAAAUAUUGCUUAAUUAAAUAUAUGUGCCUGUUGAAAAAAAAAAUAGCUUAACAAAUAUCUCCCUAAUUAACAAUGAUAAUAUGAAAAAGGAAAAAGAAGUAGGCCAAAAAGAAACAAGAGAAACCAGGUAAGCUUAAUAGAAACAGCCACAUAAUUCAAAAAAAAAAGAAAGUGAUUGAUAUAGCCUAUAGGAAUAUCAAUUAUUGUAAGGAUGUUAAUUAUUUUGUUGGUUGUUGUCUUUUCAUGCCUUAAAUGGGCAAUUAUUUAAGUUGAAAUUUUGAACAUUCUUUUGCAAAAGGUGGCAAGACAAAAUUGAAGUUGAACAAGUCUUUAGUAUUAUAAGGUGUUCUUUCAUGAAACAAUUAAGUUUAAUUUAACUCACAAGUCACAAAUCUUCUAAAAAAGCUAUAAAACACAUUAUAGUCCCCCCCCCCCCCCACAAAAUGAAGGUGGUAUAUAACUAUUUGAUAAGUACAAGCAUGAUUAAUAAAGGAACCAAAAAAACUUUACGCAAAAUAUGCUUUUAAUAAAUAUUAUUCUUUAUACUUUAAUAAUAUUAUAAUCAGUAUUAUCUUAUAAGUGGAGUAUGAGAAGGAUGAGGUGUACACAGACUUUAUCCUUCUGAAUGUUAAGAGGUUGUUUUCGAUUGACCAGCGAUUUAAGAAAAAUGAUUUCAAAAACGGAUUUAACAGAUACAAAAGUAAAAUAUUACGCUCUAUACUUUAUUUAGGAAAAAAAAUAUUUGCAAAAUACCCGGCACGUAAGCAAGUUGUAUACCUUCCGUGUAUAUAAACAAUAUGUUUUAGUUAUUUUUAUUGUUGAAGUAUACAAAAUGUGAAUUGUAUACCCCAAAGAUAUACCUCACGUCACAUGAAAAUUUUUGGGAUGGAGUUAAGCUCAAGAUUUAUAUCUUCGUAUGGUAUCAUAGUAGAAUGGGAUCCAGCCCAAUUAAUGUUUAACAAUGAUGGGGCCCUUAGUUUAAAUUGUUCAGGCACCAGAUGUUCAGUCUUAGACGUGAAAUGAGGUGUUGAAGAGUCACACGUUAGAUGAAAAAGGGAUGGAUGGUAUUUUUAUAAGGACUUGAACAAUUCUUAGGUCUUGAACUAGCUUUUUGGAAUUUUUUGUUUGUUUGUUUGUUGCAUGUUGAUUGAUUCCUCAGUUUGGAUCUAUAAACUCUUGGUCAUACGACAAUAACUUUAACAGUUACCUCAAGCUCGUGAAGCUUAGCCUCAAGUUUUUGUUGAUUUUGAAUUUUCUUCUGUUUAUUGUGGCCUUGAGUCACCAUAUUGAGUCGUCGUGCUCUAAUCUCUGAUUGUAUUUUGCUCCAACAAUGUAUUUGCUUCAAAGUCCCUGCUAUUUGGUUAUUUACACUUAGCCCUUCAAUUACACCUUGAAAUCUCACUGCACCCCUAACGCGCCGUAGAGCUUUUCUUGCCUACACAAUUAAUUGCACUUCACAUUAAUAUUAAAUAUUCAAGAACUGUACGAAAAAUACUACAUUAGGCCAGCACCCAACGACAUUGUCUGUUGGCCUAGACGUGCAGUCGUGGGUCACAUUGCACUAUGUGGGAUGGAAGUAUGUCAUAAAGGCAUAUUAUGAAAGAUGCACCUAUACAUCUUAUUAAUCAAAAUUUAUGUAGUAUGACUCUCAUAAAAUGAAACGUGACAAUUAUUUUGGAACGGACGGAUUAUAUAAAGAAUAGUUACCAAAUGAGCUCUGAAGGCAGUCUGAAUUUUAGUGGCAGCAGUGUUGUGAGUAAAUUUAGUCUUACGAGUAAUCUUUUUUGAAGAUGAAGUUCCAUUUGAAUAAUGAGCACUAGGAACUUGAACUUCUCCAUUUGGCUCAUCAGAUGUACUAGUACUUGUAACCUGCAAAUUAAAUGUCAAAUAUAUCAAUCUAACUUUUAUUUUUGUGAAAAUUUGUUCGAUACGUAUACAUAGUACACUGGGAAGUCCUACAUUGGGGGUAAAGUGCUCCCUGAAGACUCCGUACUCAGGGGGACUCUAACCCAAGACCUCUGAUUAAGAAUGAAGGAGUACUAAUCACUCCAUCACAACCUUUGUUAGCUAAUUUCUUGGUAUGUUUAUUUAUUCAUAUGUAAGUUUUUCUUAGUGAAAAAUCUUGGUUCUUUAACAUAGUAACGAUAGACUGGUAAUGAUAUAUCGAUAUUCUUUUAUUUCCCUGGAGGGGAGAGGGGGUAAAAAUAUUUCUGAACUAUCCAAAAUAGGUCAAUUUUAACCUUCUAUUAUGUUUUGGCAAAAAUACACUCGACAUUAGCCAACUAGUUUGAAAAUGUCAUCCAACUAGGGAAGUAGUUCAAAAAUACUUUCUCUACUAACAAUUAUUCCGAAAUAAGGAGAAAUAAAUCAAUUUUACCCUUGAACUACUCGAAAUCGAGACAAUUUUGCUAGGUUUUUUUGAAAAUGCAGGGAAGUGAAUAGAGAGAAAUGUAGGUACCUUGAGCUGUUUUGAUUUUCUUCUUUUGUUCCUCUUUAGCCCAAUAAUUGUUUUCAAGCAAAAACCCAUAGUAUAUAAUAUUGAAUGAUCAAAAUUCAGAAUAUAACAUAUAGUUUCAUACUUCAGAACUUAUAAUAAGCAUAUCAUAAAGAUCUUUGGUUGAGUUCAAGUUUUUUAAUUCUCAAUUUUUUUGUGGUGAAAUUGAAAUAAAUUAGAAAGGAGGUAGGUGAUCUUUUCUUUUCUUCAAUUUAUUUAUAUAUAUAUAUAUAUAUAUAUAUAUAUAUUAUUUUAUUUUUUUUAUUUUUUUUAUAAAAAAAGAUAUGGAGUAGAAAGAAAUGUAAAAUGUACUACUUUUGUCACUCAAAAACUACAUGCCAACUAGAUAGUUGAGUAGUCAAUUUUUUAGGAGGUUGCUUCAUUUUAUUCACAAUGUUGGUGGCUUUGCUCUAUUCAAUUUCGGUCAAAAAAUCAAUGUCUUACCCUCACACCACUAAAUAAAUUAAUUAAAAGAAAUUUCACUCAACUAUUACUCCAUCCAUCUUAGUUUAUGUAACGGUGUUUGAAUAUGUCGAUAAUACGGAAUUUAAGUAUAGACGCAAAUUCAUGAUUUGAACUUUUCAAGUUCUGAACUUUAAUAUAGCGAUCUCAAAUGCUAGAACUAGGUUUAAAAUUUAAUGAAAACUUUAAUAUAUAUAUAUGAUUUGGACCAAAACAGCAGGAAAAAUUGAAUUUUAUUUUUUAUUUUAAAUAUGUUUCUUGAAUCUUUUUUCAAUUAAUUAUUUUAUUUUUGUCGUUAUUUAGUAAGAUUUCAAUUGCGUGAUCUUAUUUAUAUAUAUAUAUAUAUAUAUUAUUUUAUUUUUUUUAUUUUUUUUAUAAAAAAAGAUAUGGAGUAGAAAGAAAUGUAAAAUGUACUACUUUUGUCACUCAAAAACUACAUGCCAACUAGAUAGUUGAGUAGUCAAUUUUUUAGGAGGUUGCUUCAUUUUAUUCACAAUGUUGGUGGCUUUGCUCUAUUCAAUUUCGGUCAAAAAAUCAAUGUCUUACCCUCACACCACUAAAUAAAUUAAUUAAAAGAAAUUUCACUCAACUAUUACUCCAUCCAUCUUAGUUUAUGUAACGGUGUUUGAAUAUGUCGAUAAUACGGAAUUUAAGUAUAGACGCAAAUUCAUGAUUUGAACUUUUCAAGUUCUGAACUUUAAUAUAGCGAUCUCAAAUGCUAGAACUAGGUUUAAAAUUUAAUGAAAACUUUAAUAUAUAUAUAUGAUUUGGACCAAAACUAUUGGAAAACUGUUGUGUUCGGAAAAGGCUACCUUAAUCCAGAAAGAUUGUAUGUCAAUGUUCCAGGCUAUGGUUCGGGACUUUGAAUCCUGGUUCAUUUCAUGCCCCCUCCGGUUAUCCUUUUCUUUCCCUUCAUCUUCGAGCAAGUGGGUGAACCAAAGAAAGACUUAUGAAACUUGUAACAAAAAAAAACAAAAUUGUAUAUUUGGUCCUAUUGGGUUCGGAAAAGGCUACCUUAAUACAGAAAGAUUGUAUGUCAAUGUUCCAGGCUAUGGUUCGGGACUUUGAAUCCUGGUUCAUUUCAUGCCCCCUCCGGUUAUCCUUUUCUUCCCCUUCAUCUUCGAGCAAGCGGGUGAACCAAAAGAAAGACUUGCGAAACUUGUAACAAAAAAAAACAAAAUUGUAUAUUUGGUCCUAUUGGGUUCGGAAAAGGCUACCUUAAUACAGAAAGAUUGUAUGUCAAUGUUCCAGACUACGGUUCGGGACUUUGAAUCCUGGUUCAUUUCAUGCCCCCUCCGGUUAUCCUUUUCUUCCCCUUCAUCUUCGAGCAAGCGGGUGAACCAAAAGAAAGACUUGCGAAACUUGUAACAAAAAAAAACAAAAUUGUAUAUUUUGGUCCUGGCGGGGCUCGAACCCGCGACCUUCGGCUCAUAAGACCAACGCUCUAACCAACUGAGCUACAGGACCUUAUAUGCUCUCAUUAGAGUCAUAAAAUUUAUUAAUUUUAUAAAAUUAAGAAUAUCACACAUGGAGGUAAUCAAUUUUUAAUCUUAGCCAAAAUACGUCAAUAAUUAUCAUGUGUAUUUUGUUUCUUAACACGUGGUAACUGCAGUUGACAUCUCAUCAGUCAAGUUCUUCGGAAUGUGAGAGUACAAUAGCUAGCUAUUAUAAAAGUUGAUUCUAGAUUUAACUGUUAGUAAUUGUUAUCAUAAAAUAAAAAGUGGUAUAUCAAAACAUGUGGUAACUGUGAUUGGUGUUCUUCGAAAUGUGAGAAUACAAUAGCUAGUUAUUACAAAAAUUAAUCUAGACGACUUAGCUGUCAAUUGUUAUUAUAGAAUAAAAGGUCGUAUUUUCGCUAUUUGAUUUUAAAAUUUUAGAAAUUGUAUUGAUUCACUUUUUUCUGCCAAAAAAGGAUUUCGGUAACUCUAUUGAUAGCACAAGUGAAUAUUAGUGUUUGGACUAAAAUAUAUCUAUCGAAAGAGAUUAUUAAACUUAUUAUUUUAAUUGUAUCAUUCUUUUCGAAGAAGAUCAUACAACAAGAAAGGUUAAUUCAUGUCAAUUCAAAAAUAUUAGAAAAAUAAUUAGAUCUAAUCUUGGUAAUUACUACCCUAGCCAGUUGCUAACAUUUUAUAGUUGUUGACUUGUUGUUAUGUCAUAUCCAACUAAAUUUCUUUCUAGUUAUUUUUUUAAAAAAAUAAAAAAAACUAACCUUCCUUGAAAAUAUUCUAAGCACUACCAAAGAUGAAGAAAAUAAGUUUGUUAAUACUCUCACUAUUUCAAUUUAUUUGUCUGGUAUUAAUUUAAUAUAGUUAGAGUUUAAAAAAGUAAAAAGAAUUUCUGAAUUAUGCAUUCAUAAACUAAAAAUACGUAGAAUGUAUUAAAAAAAACCUUUUAAUCUUAUGAUCUUAGAGUCUGUUUGGUUUGACUUAUGGAUUUGAUUUAUUUUUAUCUAUUUAGCAUAAAAUUAAGUACUUAUAAAUGUUUUUUUUUUAAUUUACCCAAAACAGACUCUUAAACAUAUCAUGUAGAAAGAAAUUAGUAUAAAAAAUACUGUAAAAAAGAUAAAAGAAAUAUUAAUUUUUAAACAAAUUAAAAUGAAAAAUAACACAAAUAAAUCGAAACAAAGUGUGGUUAUCAAAGUCUCAAUAAUUUAAUUAUAAAAAGUAGAAUAAGGACAUAAGUAUGGGAAUAUUGUAUAGGUAGUAAAUAGAGAAUCUUGUGCAUAGAUGCAAUAUAUUGCAUAUCUAACAAAAUCUUCACACCAUAAAUACCAAAACAGAUGGUCAUGUGUCAUUAAAUGGGGCCCAUUGAAUGUGGCUUCUUGUUUGUAUUGGCCCCUCUUCCACACACACUUUUUUGUUUUGUUUCCUUUUACUCAUAGAUAGUUUGUUGAGCCUAAGGUGGCCCAUUUUGAAAGCCAAAAUCCAAUGGUAUAUCACAAUAAAGAUCUUCAUGACUCUAUUUUUUGGUAUUUUUUUCCUUAUGAGAAAAAUUACAUUUUUUGUGUCAAUCAAACCAAAUUAUUAUAGUAUCAAUUUUGGUUUUUUACCUUUUACAUAGUUGUUCGCUAUUUUUCCAUCAGAUAGUACCACCAUCAUUAUCACUAUUGCUUUUAGUUGCUGAAAUACUAUCGAAAACCUACUGAACUCAAUGAAUUUAGAAGAAGAAGAUUUUGAAAUCCGAUAUUGUUGAGCUUGAACCUCUCAUAUUUAAAAAAUCGAAAUUGUACAAGUGUUAUAAUUUGAAACGGGUGUCUAUAUGAAGCUUGUACAAAAAAUUUGAACCCAUUUGGGGUUGAUUUGAGAUUUUCUAGUCAAAAUUUUGAGUUGAUGCAUUAAAAGACGAAUUGAAGCGUUCUUUUUAUAUAUCAUCCAUGUAUAUUUGUGUAUCUCGUGUAUAUCAAAUAUAUUAGUGGUAUUUGUUUAUUGUUAUGUACAUAAUAUACAAUGAUAUUUUUCAUAUCAAUUCAAAUCAACUUCAGUCUUCCUCAAAUUUUGUAUAUAGUCUAAUAGAAGGUUAUCAAUUUUUCAAUGAAUUUCACCCACACACACUAAAAAAAAAACAAUGAUUAAAUUGUUAGGUUAGUCACUUGUAAAUAAGAUUGUUAGGCUAAUCAGUUGUAAAUAUUUUUUAUUGUCGAAUAUUUCUGAAAUAUUUUUUUUUGAUAUUCGGUACAUGAAACAUACUGUCUGACUAAUUUUGUACCAUAUUGGAUAAAUUUAUUAAGGAGAGUAAACAUAUUUUUAUUUUCAGAGUUCAAACUCGAAAUAUCUGACGAAGAUAGGACCCACUUGAUGACUCUAUGGGGUCAGACAAACCCUUCACCUCUCAAUUUUCGUUUCACCCCUUUUAUAUACCCUUUACCUCACUUGGAUUUGAUGUCCUUUUGGUUACUUUGUAUUUUAUGUAAAUAGAGAAAAAGGGAAGCCCAAAGUAGUUGGUUUUGGGUUUUGAAAGAAUCCACAAGAGAAUGCAUUAUUUCCAUAUAUAGAAAGUUUUCUACAAUGUAAUCUUUGCUCAAAAUUGCUAAACAACUUGGGAUGGGCUUUAAUAAAUUGCUUCAACAAAUCCAUCUCAUAUGGACUAAAGAGGAUAUAAUUAAAUGGUUGUUCACAUACAAAAUAUCCUUACAAUCUUUUAGUCAAAACAAGUAAUUAAUCUUUGCACAAAUUAAAGUUAAUUAAGUAGAAUAGAUAUUAUAAUUGAAUAAUAUGGUAUAGCUUGGAAAGUAUCCAUACAUGGAAACCUAGCACAAUAUUCCAAUUGUUGAAGAAAAAUAUUGUGGAGGAGCAUUCAAUAAAUGUGAAAAGUGUAUCAAGCAUUGUAUUAAGUACAAAAUUCCAAUAUACACAUUUAAUACCAUAAGAUAUAAAUGACAUUUCAAUACAUUAUGCAUAAUUUUAGUGUAAGAUCACAUAAUUAAAAAACCUUAUAUAUUUUCGUAAAUACGAUGUUAGUCAAGCUAUUUUGGUCAAACUUUUAAAAACUACUUAUUUUGAAAAAUAUUAUUUGUUGGUUAAAUUAGCUUUCCAAAAGUACUUUGGAGAGAAGCCGUUCAUAUUAUCAAUUUAUUUUAGUACUAUUACUUUUAGUAUUUGGUAAACAAAUAGUGGCUGACCAAUUUGUUCACCAAAAUACUUUUGAUUGUCAAAUUACAAAAAAAGAUUAUAGAAUUUUGUGGUUCAUUUUACAAUUAGUAUUAACAAAAUAAAGAAAUAAUUUUAUUAUAUAAAAGACUCUAAUUAAAUUUUUGUUUUUAUUUAGUUAAAAUUUAUAACAUAAGAUGAAAGUAUAUAUUAAGAUUGUUAAUCAAUACCAAUAUAGUCAAAUCAAAAGGGAAAUAAGAGAAGAGUGUUGUAUACACUUUUUGAAAUAUGUAUAAAGAUUAAUAAUUUGGAAAAAUAAAAAUUUCUAGUAAGGAUAUUUUAUCACGAAGAAAAAAAUCUUCUUUUACUUUUUGUGUGAAGCAGAAAUUUAUAGCGUCUCUUCAAACAAUAAUAAAAUUAUUCCUACUUCUACUCAAAAACACGUAUAAUUUCUGAAUUAAAACCUCAAAUAAUUUUGAUUUUUCCGAAAUUUGGACAAACAUACUAUACCACAUAUAAAAUGAAAUAAGGAGAAUACUUUAUUAAUUUUCUAAAUGACAAAUAUUUUAGAUCAAUUUUUCUUUUUGGCUGAAGUGGGAAAUUAAAAUGAGCAGGGAGAAUAUUUGUUAAGAAUCUUUCCAAGUAUUUAUUACUAUUUAUAUUGAACAAAUCUUGUACAUUAAGAUCUUUUAUUAAAGAUCGUAUAAUAUUUUUGCUUUACGCACGGUGUAUAAUACACAAUAGAGAGAGUAUUUGCUGGCUGUGAUGAAUGAAAAAAUCUUAUUAGUAGCAUCGUCUUUAAAAAUAAAUUUAUAAUGCAUGAAUUCAAAUUUAAUCAUAUACUUUAAUAUAGAUAUCAAAUAUCUAGUGAAUUUUUUUAAAUAUAUAUGCAUUGAAUGAGAUUUCAUAAUGGUGAUUUUUUGAAACACCGUAUAAGAAAGAAACACAACAAGUUUUACGAAAGAAAAAAUCUUUGUGAGUUGAUAAUAGUAUAAUAUUUUAACACGAUCAUACAUUCAUACUAAAUUAUUUAACAAAGAAAUAUAAAAUUACUUGUAAUAAUAAGUAACUAUUAUAAAUAAAUAUAAUUAGUACUAACAAUUUAACUUUAAAAUAUACAUUUAUAGCUACAUAUAACUUAUUUUAGAACAUAAAUUUCAAAAAUCUUUUUUCAUUUAAAAAAAAAUUCAUAUCAAGUCAAACUAAUUGGCAUAAAUUAAAGCAAAGAAAGUACUUAUUUAGGCUCAAAUAUGUUAAUCAAACUUUGAGAAAAAUUCAAAUAUAUUAAAAUUUUGGCUCAUUUAUUCGAAUCUAUUUCAAUAACAUAUUUGAAUUUUUUUUUUAAUUCUUUUAUAUAUCAAAUCUUUUAAGACGUGUGUCAAAGUCAAGAUCGAUAGUAAACAAAGUGAGUAACAAUAAUUCAGUUUUUUUACUGUGUAAUAAAAAGCUUAGAGCGCGGCAUUGUCUUUAUUUGUAAGAGAGAAAAAAAAAACAGAGAAUUUGAUGAGAGAUUUAGAGGAAAAGAGAAAGAAGAGUACUUGAGAGUCGGAAAAUGUGGAGUCGACCGAUAAUUUUGGCCGAUAAAUUUGAUUGCCUGAAUCUUACUCUCACAAAUUCCGCAUUUUUAGCUUCCUUUAGAUUUCCAUUUUGAAAAUUUUGAAAAAAAAUUUAUUAUUUUUUCUUAUUUUUACUGAUCUGAUCUAUUUACAGACAACUGGUUAUGAGAAAAAUCCGAAUAUCUCAGAUACUCUUCCUUUGCUCUUUAUAGCUUGCUUUAACUGUAUCUGUAUUUGUACAUUUUUGUGUAAAUAAGAUCCAAUUUUAUAUAGAUUUGUUUGCUGAAUUAUGGGUUUUUUGGUGUACAUUUAUUUAUUUAUAUUUAUCUCCAUAUAAGUUGCAGAUCUUGACUUGAUGACCUACAAGAUUUCAUGUAACGUACAAAUGGGGAAUUGGGUUUUUUUUUCUUCUCCUUGAAUUUGGCUUCUUUCUGUAUUUUCAUUGAAUUUUUCCAUUUGGGGUUUUCUUUCCAAACCCUCAAGAUUAAUUGUAUUGUUUAGAGGAAUUUAUAUGGUUAUAAUGUGGUGGAUGGAUUCAAUGUCUAUAUAUAUAUUUGUCCUUUAGGUUUUACUUUUAAGUAGUAGUGUAUAGUUUUUUUUCUUGAUCUAUGAAGACAAAGACAAACAUAAUGGUGAUAGAGGAGCAUACCCGUAAGUGUAGUAAUAGUAGUGGUGGUGGUGGUGGGGAUGGGGGUGUUGGUGGCGGCGGUGGUGGUUCAAGUGGUAGUGGUGGUGGUGCUACGAGUAGAGCAUCGAAAAAAGUGAAGCAGAAAAAAAUCCCACAAAGAGGGCUUGGUGUUGCUCAACUUGAAAGGAUUAGAAUGGAAGGGGAGAAAAAACAUGAAAAAGAUGCAAACUUUCAAACACCUAAUGUUUUGGUACCAAAUUCAGUUCAUUCCACCAAAACUAUGUCGAAAUGCUUAGCUGUUGAAGGUUCUAGUUUUAGGCCUAGUUCAAUCACUUUACCACCACCAUCAACAAUGGAUCUGCUUUCGAAAAAUAGUGUCUUUAGACCAAAUCUGUCUGCCUUAGUUCUUGAUGGUUUCCGUCCGAAGACUUUACAAUCAUCAAAACCAAUGAACAUGGGUGGAGGGGAGUUAAGUUGGUCGUCUGUUUCAGGUUCAGGGAGUGAUAAAUGUCCUAAAUUGUGGAGUUGUGAGUAUAGUCCUGAAAGAGAAAGCCAACAGGGAAAUCGCCAUGGCGUUGUUUUCGGGGCUAAUGUAGAUUUGCCGAAUGAACUGCAUAACCCCAUUUUACCUCUACCCAGUGUGUUGCAAAGAUCACAACAAUAUCAGCAACCUUCUUGUUCUUCAUCAAUGGUAAGCAAGUUUAUUAAUUUAGUUGCAAUGUUAUGUAUCAUCGUUGGAUUGUCAAGUCUAGAAUUUUGUUUUGAUGUGUUUGAAAUGCUCUGAUUAAAUCACUUUGUGGUAAUUGCAGAUGAAUAUCUCAUCAGGGAUUUCAUCAUCAUCUGUACUAAAUUAUCAGAUGGAGCCCCCUUCAAACCAAAAUUAUUAUUCGUGUAAUUAUUUACCUCUGUGGCCUGAAGAUGUGAAGGUAAUUUCUUUUAUUCUUCCUGUUAGUCACUAUUAAAUAGAAAUCAAUUUUCAUAAUGCUCUCUUCUGUCAAAAGGCUGAAACACAGUUUACCUGGAUAUCCUAUUGAUUCUAGUGAGGAUCUUAGUUUGUACAGAACCAUUACGUGAAAAGUUCUUUGAAUUAUAAAGAUGGAGACAUGUCAUUUACAUCCAAUGUGUUGAACAUCUUUUUUCUUCGAACUUGAUAGUAGAAAACUUUAGUACACAACUUCUACUGCCAAAAAAAGGUAAAGGAACUUCUCUUUGUGACCUUAACUAAUAUUCAGAUACUUGAUGAAAAGAGCAUCUUAAAAGCCAGAAGAGAUGCUCACUCAGCUCAGGUUACACCCUCCACUCCCCACAAAAUGUAGGAUAGCUCCAUAGUUGCCCCUUUUUUGCUCAAACAGUUCGUGUUCUUUCAUCUAAACAAGCUAUCCGAGGAUAAUGAUUUAAAAACCAAGAGACAUGUCACAAUCACAAUUCACAAAUGUGAGAUAACAUGUCUCCAACCAUUAUUUCAGUGCGUCAAAGUGGAACUCACAACUAAAGACCCAAAACUAGGUAUCUAGAUGGUUUAUCUUUGAACUCAAGGGUGUCACCUAGUGGUCAAUGAAGUAGGUUGAGAACCAUGAGGUUUUAGAUGCAAAUCUCAACAGAGACAAAAAACACUAGGUGAUUUCUUCCCAUAUGCCCUACCCUUGGUGGACAAAAUUGCCUGAUACCUGUUGCUAGUGAGAGGUGGCAGGUUUCCCGUGGAAUCAGUCGAGGUGCGCGUAAGCUGCUCAGGAAACCUUGGCUUAUCAAAAAAAGAAGAAGAUUGUUUUACUUUAAGUUUUUUGGUUGACGGCUACAACUUUGAUUACUGAUGAUGUAUUUGUAGAUGGUUGGCAUGAAGAGACCAUACCCCUUCACUCCAGAGUUUCCACCAGUCCCUACAUUUCACUGCAAAUUUCCUCCAGCCUAUGUUAACCUUGCAUCGAGAUCACCUGAAUCAGCUUCCUGCAGCAAUGAAUGUGCAGCCAGUUUAGAAUCAGGAAAUCUGCUCAAAAGGUUUGAUAUCUUGAAUGAUCAUUUCAUAGUUGUAGUGCUUAAAAUACCUGCUUAGACUUUUUUUGGCACUUUUCUCCAGAGAAGCUCCUUCAGGAUCAAGGACUCUAUCCGAGUCCAAACCAAGGGAUGUUGUCAGACAAAAUAAAGCUCUCAAUGGAGAUUUUCUCACGUUGGCUCCUCCUACAGCUGCUUCUCCAUAUCAGCAUUCAUCUAAUUCAAACCUUCAGAGUCGAGAGAGAUUUACGUUGGAAUCAGUGCCUUGUCAGGUGAGAACAAAAGGUCUACCAUUUUUAUGUUCUGAUGCCUUUAUCUAUUGGUAUCCCGAAUUUGGUGUAACGAUCUUCUUGCCUUUGUUAAAUCCACAGGGAGUUGCUGAAGAACCUGCUACAACAAGCUCAGCCCUAAGCAAAUCAGUUCAAGAAUCCAUCUAUGGAUUCUUCCCAACUGCCAAGGUACAAAUCAGCCAAGAAGGAACAAACAAACGCAAUUGCCACGUUGAAGUAGGAGGAAAUGUUGAUCUCAAUCUGAAGCUGUAGAAGUUAGUCAUUACACUUGGUUGUGCUUCUUCCGGGAGAAUUUCUGUGUAUCUCUUCGUGAGAUGGCUAGUUCAAGUCCUAAGAUGUUUGUUUCUGCAGGGCUUUCAUUCCACUCUGUGGUAGAACAACGUUCCUUCUGAUGAAUAUCUUUACCAUUUGUAGUUGAGCCUCACAUGUAAGUCAGAGCAUGAAAAAUAUGCCUCAUACAAGAGAGGGUUAAAUUAACCUCCGGGUCCAUGAUGAGAUGACGAGUGAGAUUUUGAUUGGAUUUUUCAACUAGGAUGUCUGGAUUCAGGUCUUUCUGUUACCAUUGGUUCUUAGUUCUUAAACUUCUGUAAACUGUUACUCUCUUAUGUGUGGCGAGUUAGAUUCUUUUGGCUAUAUAUUUUCACAUGUCUUCAGUUCCAUAAGGCAAGUGAAAUGUUGAGAAUUCUGGCUGUAGUAACUUGUUUAAAUCAAGUAUUGAACAAAUUAUGUUAUGAACUUACUGUGUCUAUGUCUGUUUAGAAUAGGCAGAAAAUUAGGUGCCUAAAUGAUUGAGCCUUGCCUACAGGUCACAUGUAGCAAAAUUAACCCAUAAAAAUAUGACUUACUCAAGUUUGGUGAGCUAAUGACUUGUUCAUUUAUUAACUCGGUCCAUUUGAUCUGCCAAUGCAAUCCAUCCAAGGUUGGGCUGAUAUAUCAUUCUAAUGACCUAUGAGAAAUUUUGUUGAAAUAUUUUAAAAGGACUUUUUUUCAUUAGAUGUAUAUUAUGUACAACCAUAAACAAAAAGAUUACUUAGGUGAUUAAACUGUUAUAAAAAUCAAGGAAAUAAAUUAAAAAUUAGAAAAAAUUAGGUGGUUUGGACAAUGACCCAUUGUUUUGUCCAUUCUAUUCUAGCCUAGUACAAUUCAGAUAACUUUUAUCAGGUUAAUGACCUAUCUAUUAUUAACUUGGAAUUUUUACAAAAAUAUACAAUUUAAUAAAAAUAACUACAUCUACAUAGUUCAUAUUACACCCACAUAUUCCAUCUUAACACAGUAUAUAACAUUAUAAAAUUAAAAUUAAAAAAAACUAGGUGUAUGAGUGGAAGUCAAGUUUUGGUGGAGUACCAGCGAUUUAACCGUUUUGGAAGAAGUAUGCAAAACAGGACGUAAGCACUCCUCACUUCAACCUCGAAAAUUGUGAGUCUGAGUCCAAGGGAGCAAAAAGAUGGAAACUCCUCCUUGAGAGGGGUAAAAAACAAGUGUGCGUAGCAGAAAAGUACAUAAAAACUGCAUAAGAGAUAUAUGGAAACGCAGAAGCAGUCUGCUCAACAAUAAUGAUAUGAUUGACUAGAGAGAACAGUCAAAACCUGUAACCAAUAAACAGCAGUGGGAAAUUGUAAGUAAAUAAAUACAACCAAAUCACUUAAGUUUUCAAGUUACUGAAGUUCUACUAACACGUCCAACAGCGCCUUAAGUGUGCCGUAGCUCAAAAGACGCAUACAAGUUCAACAAAAAGAGUCGUCUAAGACCAACCAAAUUUGUAGUCAAGAACAUAUACAAGUACAAGAGAGAAGGGGUAAAGUAGAAAAGCUAGCAAGGAAGUCCAAAGAGGAAAGGUGCUACGAACGCUUGCAAAGACCCCCACGACAACACAGACAAUUAGAAUAACCAAGACUUCAGACGAGAAGUCCCAUGUCAAUCCUCUGAUAUAGACGAGAGCCAGGAAGACGGAUAGACAAAGGAGAUUGUUCAUAGUCACUGCUCCAUACAACUGCAAGGUACCAUCACAAAUGUUAUCAAACAAAGGCAAUUGUAUCAGUGAUACACGCGAUCAAACUGCUCAAAUCUAAAUUAUUGAAUGUUUAAACAAAAGAGGUUAAAAUGGAGCAAAAUGGAUAUUGAGGAUUAAUAGAGUUGAUUCCAACUAGCUUGAGGAUCAACUGUCCUACAUUAAAUCCCCUCCAACCAUUUAUCUCAUCCUGCAUACAGAAAUGAUCGUAAGGGAUUUGACAAUUGGGAAACCUCAGAUCAAGUCUGCCUCUUGAUUUUCAUUAAUGAUCUUCCAGGUUCAUUGAUGCAAGGGGUAGAAAACCCACAAAUUAUACUACAUAAAAGCACAAAGCUAGAGGAAAACAAACCUCAGAAAAUGUUAAUGACGCAGACCUCAACUUUUUCCGGCUAGCAAAGAUAAUAGCUGACACCGCCUCACUGGAGUUGGUCGCCAGUGGCAGAGCAAUGAAUGAGAUGAAGAAAGAAGGAAUGCUUGUGGCACUAGAGAAAUUAUUGACAGCAUCAACCAGAGGAUCAGCAAACACGGCGGCAAUGACAGUACCCAGCAACAGCAGUAGAACAGCCUUAAUUACAGUUGAUCGAGGAUUCUCAACAGUCUCAACACUUUCGUCACUUUGAUCCCCUAAGAAAUGGUGUUCUCUCCUUGUUUGCUGCAAGCACGUUUAUAUUUUAUCACUAUCGUCACGACAAUGAACUAUCUAGAAAAGGUCACAACACUCAAACAAACCUCAUGCAAGUCAUCGAGGUACUUCAUUGUAUCAGGACCAGCUUCAGGAGAAGAAGCCUCGGAACCCCUGGCCUCAGUAAGCCAUUUUGUAACUCCAGCAAUGAACUCGGACAUUUCAAUUCGAUGAUCAUGUGAAGUAUCGAAGUCUUUCAUCAGUUUUUCUAUAGCAUCAUUCUCAUGUAAGUUUAUCUCCUCCAAACGGAUUCCUACUACCAGAGCUUUUAAUUCAGCGCGGGAAAGAUACCCAUCCUCAUUUUCAUCAAUUGCCUUGAAUAGCCUGUCAUGCAAUCCUUCAUCAUAUUGAUCAAGAUUCUAAAAGUGAUUAAAACUGUGCAGAAAUCAUUUCAAACUUACUUUUCUAAAACUUCUAUAUUUGGUGCUCCCUGGUCUGUGCAAAGCCUCCCCAAUGCACGCAUUCUUAACUGUUUCAAAACUCCUGAUAUAACAUGCUUAUGUUUUACAUAAGCAAGACGUCUACUCUGUAUCCAAGGCUGAAAGACCUGCAUUAUAAGUUAGAAGUUCAGAACGACUUCAUUAUAGAAGAUAAGAAACAGGCCUCGUGAUCUCAAACACUAAAAAGGUGAAUUUAUUAACCAGCCUAGUAUAAAGAAUGACAAAGAUUUAUAUUUAUUUGUUUCAUCUUGUUGAAAGAGGAAGAGGUAUACAGGAGUCAUCAGGUUGUCUUCAGAUACAAGUUCAAUUUGAACUCAGGCGGUUAUGUGGAAAGUCCAUUAUCCAGCAUAUGUGGGGAUAAAAACUAUUUAAAGCCCGGUUAAUCAUAGGCAAUGUUGUUAUUGCCUAUUUGAAAAUUCAGCUAGAAACUGUAAAAAUUGAUAUUUAUCUCCAAAGAGUGUUGUCAAUGCAAAUCUCUGCAGAUACGUCAUUGCAGUUUGAAAGAAAAUUAGAUUACCCACAGUGAAUAAAAGAAAAAAACACAUGGGCAAUGUCACAGUACCUGAUAGACGCAAUAAGAAACAAGCAGUGAAAGUGAAAUGAUAAGACCAAUCAAGACAGAUAAAUGUCUUCCUGAAGUUGAAUGGAGGAGCUGUGGCAAUUGGACAACAAGAAAUGGUGUUACAGACGCUGCCAUUAUCGUUGCAGCAUGGCUUGUCCAGAUGUCAGUACUAACACCAGAACCUACAUUGACAGCCACUCAUUGAGUAGAAGCAUCUUGAUACACAAAAUCUGGCCAUAUACUAGCAGGAAUAUCACUUGCACAAGUACACAAAAUCCUCCUGGUGGCCCAAUGAUUUCAAAGACUAGAGCAUAUUUAGUCCAAACAAGGGCAGAGGGUGAAAUAAAGCUGAAAAGGAUCUAUAGCAACAUAUUUCGGGAAAGACAAAAGUAGUAAAGAACAAGAAGGAGCUUGUAUACGUUUCUGUAUACAUAUUCUAAGAGUUGAGAUGCAAACCCGUCAAGCUGAAUCCUCUAGUGUCUUUCAUGUCUACAGCAACAGAAUUUUGUAUAUCGCACUUGCCAACAAUGCAACAGGUUCCCCAAAUAAUAGUUAUAAGCAUCACAGUUGACCCAGCUAGCAAUCCCAUUCCUACAGAGACCUGGCUCUGAGCAGCUGCAGUACUUCCAGAUAUCCCCGAUACUGAAACAAUAAAGUUCAAAGUAGUAAGAAACUUGGGACACGUUCAUUAUGGCUUGUAAUAUAUGGUCUUUGACUGAUAUAGUAGGCAUCCACAUUAACAAUUUUUUCUUAAAAACCGAGAAACUCACGAGGGCCAUAGCGCACGGUUCGAAGCGUGGAUAAUGGGGCCCCCUCUACUCUUCUCUACUUAAUACCAGGCCCUUGUACGCAGAAAGGUUCAAACCUAGGAUGUGCCCCUAACCCACACAUCACAAGCUUCGCUCUUACUACUAGCUACUAGACUGAAGUCAUGGAUUAGAUGCUGCAAUCUAGGGGACAAAGAGAAAUUUAUUUAUUUAUUGUUUUUUAAUAACCAUGGUAUCAUGGCCAACUUUCGCCCACCUCACUAAUUCCAUAGGAUAUCUGUCACCUCCCACCCGCAAUAGAUACCACGUAAGCUCUCGGGCACCUCUACUAAUUCCAUAAACUGCUCUACUGGAAUUUGAAGCUCAGAUCUCAUGACUCUCAACACAUUAUACUGACCACACAAAGUGAAAUUUACUCGUAGUAAAACACUAUUUCUUAAUCAACUAAGAUUGCAUCAAUCCCCUAAUCCUUCAAUUAGUUCAAUCGACAUAUUAGAUCUUGAAAACAAGUGAGAAUUGAUUCCUACUCACAUCAUUUGUUUCCCUUCAAGAUCAAAGGAUCAUAUUCAUAAGGUUUUAAACUAGUAUCUCCCAAAAUCCAGCAUGCAGGCUUCGAGACAUGGUUAGGAUGAUACUACAAUUACUAACAGGUAAAACAAAUUAAUCAAUCAGUGAACCAAAAUCAGAGAACUAUUAUAAUAAUCGUACCGAGAAUAAGCAUAGCAUCCGGAAGAGCACCAAGCACAGGAAGAAAAAGUCCACCAAUAAUACCAGGCCCUAAAAUCUCAAGCAACAGUUCACUACCCGAAGAGAGAUACGUAGCACCAAGGAACAUAAGGUAACCAUAAACCAAAAUGAGAAAAACAUUUCCGAGAGCAGUUUUAGUACAAGGCAUAAAUCCAUAACUCUGUUCACAACUCUCUUCCUCACCGCCGGCGAAAUCCCGAUCCAGCCGGAGAAUUUCCAAAUCCCGACCGAUCUCACUGUGAACACCAUCUGAAAUUAGUCCACCGGAGUCACUGAUGAAGCGGCGGCCGUUAACGGCGCCGGAUAAUACCAGUAGGAUGAUGAAAGUGAGAAAAAAAACUUUGAGAGACAUUUUUCGUAAUUAUGGUGCUAAAAUAAUUACAAAAACAUGAUUAUGAAGAGAUCUUACUGUUUUGAGAGUGAAAAUUGGAGUCGGUCACUAAUUAUUUAUUCAUUUGAAUCAUUAUUUGUUUUAAUAAAAUAUUAGUAAAGGCCAUAGAUGCCAUCGGAGUUGGUCGGUAGGAAAGUUUUGGAGCUUUUCUGAAAAUGGAUUUUACGUACUUGUUUUUCGCAUGAGAAAUGCGGGAGUUUCGGUCUUUGGUACUGAAAAUACAUGUUUGGACCAAUAUUUAAGUUGACGGGAAAAAAGAGUAUUAUUUGAAAUUUAAAUAAAAUGUUGGGGUCCAAAAUUUAAAUAGAAAGAAUGUUCUAAUCUUUAAUCAUUUAGAUCUUAGUAUUAUGUUUGUUUUUUUAUUUUUAAGAUUAUAUUUAUUGUAAGUUACAAUCUAGAACAAGAGUUAGGUCUUGGGUCAGGUCUCAAUUCGAGAUCAGAGUAUGUCCCAGGUCGGGAUCGUGGUCGAGAGUUGGGUGUUGGCAUAUGUUGAGUCAUAAAUCGGGGUUAGGAGUCACUGACUCACUUCCCUUACAAGGAUCGAGUACUGAGUUGGUGUCAAGAGUACAGUCUUAAGUUAGAAUUGGUGUUUUUUUUUUUUUUUGGUUUCCCACCCGGUGUUCGGAGCCCACAUUAGAGCUCCGACUAAAUCCGGAUCGCGCUUUGCAGGGCCCAUUCGGGGGUGGCGUUCCCAAUAGGAUUUUCUCCAUAUCCAAGGCUCGAACCCGAGAGCUCUAGUUAAGGGUGAAGCACUCCCAUCAGUGCACUCCAACCUGAGUCGAUGUUGGAAGUCGGAUCUUGGGUCAACUUUGGAAGUUGGGAUCCAAUUUACUAGUUGGGUACUAGGUUAAGGUUAGAGUUGUAAUUCAAAAUCAGGUUCCAAGUUUCAAAUUGGGAUUGGGGCGAGAGACGAGGUGACAUCAAGGUCAAGUCAUAGAUCGGUGUUAGGAGUUGGUUUCCAAAUUGGGGUCGAAUCAGGGUUGGGAGUUGGGUCCCAUUUCUAGGUCGUAGUGCAGUGUUUUUAUUUUAUUUUAUUUUAAAAUGGGGCAGGGAAGUGGAAAUAGAGGGGCUUACAAUAUGGGGAAUCAAACAUUUAUCAAUAAAUUAAAAAAAAAAAACUUACCAAUAAGGUAUGAGUUUAGACCGUCAACCAAUUGAGCUAUAAGGAUUUCCUGGUGGUGAGGUUGAAACAGAGUUUUGAAAAAUAUUAUCCACUUUAGGAAAAUCAUUUUCCUUAAAUUUGAGGAAAAUGAAUCAAUUAAAAAAUAUUUUUUAAAACCUGUGAUCCAACCAAACAUAAUAAUAUUGAAAACACACCCUUAAUAUCAAACAUUGACUAAAUAGUAGUAAGAGUAAGCUAUUGCCACAUAAAUCAUAAUUCAUUGCUCUUGUAAUUGCAACAAGUAUUCCAUGAUAGUUCCAUCUUUAUAUAUAUACAUACAAUACACCAUAAACUACAACUCUACAACAUCAUCACGGUAACACAUUUCUACUUACGUCGUAAUUUCAUAGAACAUUGGUUUCAUCUUACCACUGUAUCCGCGCUUGGAUCGUCUCCCUAAUCUUUCAAUCUGAUACUAACAUAGGGUUUAUUUUAUGUUUUACAUGCCCGUGACUCCUUAUGUACAAGCCAAGUCACUUUAAGAGGAACUACAGGAGCUAGCUGAACAAUGAGCAUUUCACCUUUCUAUAGGUUUUCCUUUCUGCAAAUCAACGUUGUCUUCGUUCAUAGAUAGUCCUGAGAAGUGAGACUUCAAGCCAAUCCAGCAUUGGUAAUAAUCGUGAUCCAUAAACGGAGAUUCAAGUGCCCACGGACAGACUCGGGGUAUUAGGCAAGACUCAAACAUAAAAGCCAUGGUAUCAGCUAUUCUAUGUGGACCAGCUUCAUUUCCAAGUGCAAUGGUUGCCUGUCAAUACUUUUUUUUAGAAUUUUACCCUCAAAUGUGGAGUAACAAUACAAAUUUAAGAUAACAUAUCAACAAUUAAAUAGUUUAGCACUUAAGAAAUCGUUAAAUUUGUGAAGAUUCGGAAGUGGAGGAUCAAAAGGGCACAUAUUACUUAUGAUUAAAUGUGCUCUAUCAUCAGAAUUUUGUUGACAUUUGAGGGACUAAAAGGCACAAAUUUCCUUAUAAAUAAAGCCGCAUAUGUGGGAAGGGGAAAGACACAUGACCAUAGAGAAGGGAGGAAUAGAGCAGUACUUGUACCUCAUAUGUUUUGGUAUCAGGGCCAUGAGGAGUCAUGCAGCUGUGAAGGCUUGCCCCGCCAGGAUGAAAACCAUCAGCUUUUGCCUGAAACAAGCCUAACCGCGUUAAAAAUUGUAUGAAAUAACCCCAGAAUUGACAUUGACUUCAUGCAAGAGCGAGAUAAACAACCUCGUAUCCCCCAUUGAUUAGACCCAUAAAUUCACUCAUACAAUUGCGAUGAUAAUAUGGAGGACGGAAGGUGUGUUCAGCAACCAACCACCGGGGAGGGAAAAUGACAAAGUCAAGCAACGCCACACCAGGUUUAUCUGUUGGUGCUGUCAAAACUGCAUUGAUUUAAGAAACUAGAGCAAUUGUAAAUAGCGACACCGACAAUAAAAAAAAACAAAAUUCACACAGAUUGAUGACAAUUAAUAGAUGAAAUGCUGAUAUUUAAACCUAACCAACCUGUGUUAAUUGAAGGAUCACUGUGGUCCAUCAAUACUGUAUUGUAAGGGCAGAACUUGCUUAAAUCAUACUGCAAAUUGAGGAAAUAUAUUACGUCAGGGACUAAGGAGACAAACAGCAUCGAGUUUCCAUGUAGCAAAGUAAAUUGGAUAAAAUGUGCACAAGGCACUCAUAUUAUGAGAGAUUGAAAUAUAGAGAGAUACCCGCCUUAUAAGGAACAUAAUUGCCAUGCCAAGCGACCACAUUAAAAGGAGAGAAGUCCUGCUUUGCAGUGAAGAGUUCACCUCCAUACUUCUGCACAAUAGUGUAACCUGGACGGGAGCCAUCUUCAUACCAGGCAACAGGAACAAGAAAAUCCCUCGGAGCAGCCAGACCAUUUGCACCUAAAUACAUAUUCAAAUGCAUAUUAUCAGCAAAUAACAUCAGUUGUUUAAAUAGCAAGUAGUUUUCCACUUUCUAAAGCACCUAUUGGCCCCAGAUCAGGAAGUUGAAGAUGAGUUCCAAAAGUUUCAGCGACAUAACCACGUGAAGGUCCAUCUGGAAGGUCAACAGCAAAUCGAUAUCCUUGAGGCAAAAUCACAAUUUCACCAGGACAUACCUGCAAUCUUCCGCAUUCAGUAGUAAUCCACAGCCCUACAGUACAAACAGAGAGUAAGAAAGAGUUUCAAAGCACAUGUCAAAAUAUUUGACGCUGAAUAUGAACAGACAGAUGACGCCUGAAUGAUUGACACUUACUUCCUUUUUGAGGAACAAUCAGAAAGUCACCAUCAGCAUUGCAGAAGGCAGAGUUCUCCAUUGAUUUGUUGGCAGUAUACCUGCAUUUUCCACAAAACACACAUUAUCACUUGAUCUACUGAACUUUGUAAUAGGUGUUGUGCUGAGUUGAUAUUCAAUACACAUCAUUGUCUCACAAGAGAAAUUCAUUUUAGCAGAAUUAUAGUCCAUGAUGUUAAGGAGAUACGAUAUACUCUCAGCUUGAAAGCAAAUAGCAACAGAAUUUGAAGCCAAUGUUUAUAUCCAAAGCAUAACAAAUCUCAAUCCUAAUUAUAAUUUAACAAGAACAAAACAUAAACAAGAAAGUAACAACAAUAUCCCGAACUCCAUCAGAAGGACGUGGUGACGACAAUACUAGAGCAAGUUUGAAAUACCAAUUACAUGUGAAUUGCAAAACCAUGUCGGAGAUAUGAGCUGCCAGCCCCACAUAUAGUAUACAAACCAUCAAUGAAAUCAGUCGGUGUUUCUGGGAUCUCGACAGGCUUCCACCUUAGUUGAGUUGGUGUAGCAGAACUGUUUGACUGGUUGAAUUCACUCACAAGCUUUUCAUGUCUUGGCAUUCUUGGUCUAAAUGGUUCAUGUGUAACCGAUGGCUUAAUACGAUAUAGCCAACUGCACAAACAAAAGAUUCCUUCAGUAACAUAACCAACCUAUCCAUCAAUUAUACCUCCAUCCUAAAUGAUCAUUAAUCAAAUCCUCAAAAUCCAUUAACAAAAGAAUGAAAAAUUCUCAUUUUAAUUAGCUAACACAUUUUUAUAUGGAAGAGUGAAAACUGUUCAUUUCUGGAAAUGGCCAAAGUCACUGAAGUUAGGCAAUCAGUUUCAUUAUCUGAAAUAUUUACAAAAUAUCAAAAAACUUAUGAAUUUCACAUCCAACCAAAACACUUCCUAAUAUGUCGUUUGGUUGGGAACAAGUUAUUCCCGAUUAAUUAUCCUGGAAUAACUUAUCCCACCAUAUACAUGCGAUAACUUAUCCCAUCACUAUGGUAUAAAUGGUGGGAAAAUGAUGGGAUAAGUUAUCCAAACAUGGCAACCAAACAAGACACCAAACUCUUAUCCCGGACUAUUUUUUGUUUAUGCCAGGACUAUUUAUUCUUUAUCCCUUGCACCAAAGAUUAUAUUAUCCAAAUGCCUAACUAAUUAAGCUGCGAUGACUUUGAACAAUAUGCCUAAUUCAGAAUUAGCAAACAAGAUGAUAAAAGAAGAUGAUUAGGCGGAUUCUCCAACAGACUUAGUUACAGUCACUUACUUGUUAUAUCAGGUAAGUAAGCAAAUGAAGGUAUGUACCUGCGUUGAUUAAGUUUGCGAGGGGAAGUAAAAGAGGUGCCAGAGAUCUGCUCAGCAUAAAGGCCAAAGGGGCAAAUAAGAGGACUAUUUUGACCUUGAGGUAGAGCUCCAACUAUAGCUUCAGAUGAGAAAUGAUUCCCAAAUCCUGUUUGGUACUCCAAAUCAGAAGGAAAAUUGGAACUUCUGCUGCUGCACUCCAUUUCUUUGACACACCAAACACUGCUAGUAUAUUUUUUUAGCUUUGCAGAGAGAUGAACAUUUUUAUGUCCAAAAAGGGAGAGAAGAAGAAGAAAACGAAACGGUGCUGUCGUGGCACGAUGAUCCUUGACAGAGGCGUGUUUGUUUGAGGAACUGCGUUUCACAUGUCCUAAUUUGUUACGCCAAUCAGGUUCAUGACAGCAACGCCGUUUGGUUGGAAAAUAAGUUAUUAAAAAUAAUAUUAUAAUUUUGAAAUAAGUUAAUUUGUAAUUUUAUUUUAAUUAAAUAUAAAAUAAAUUUAUUCUAAAAUUAAAUUUGGUAUCUCUAAAUGAGAAGGGUUAUUUACUAGCUGGUUAGAGUUAUUUAGAUAUUUUGAAUGUAAAAAUUAGUUACGAAAAAAGUUAUGUAUUAUUACGAUUUAGUUAUUUAUGUAUUAGUUAUUUCAUCUUUUAUAUAUAAAACAAUAUAUAAAUGUGGAUUCUAAAUUACAAAUUAAAUAUCAUAUUGAUUUUAUACGUGAAUAACUAACUUACCUUCCAACCAUCUAUCAAAUAUGAUAUUAAUUACUAUCCUCGUCCACUUUUAAUUGUCAUGAUUUUGUUUUUUAGAUUCAAACUAUAAGAACUUUGACAAACAUUUUAUGAUAUAUUUUUUCAUCAUAUUGAUAUGUAAAAACUUGCAAUUUAUAGUAUUUUUUGAAUAGUUUUUGAAAUCUAAAUUUGUUUAACAUAUCGAAUUAUUGUAAUCUAAUUUAACUUUGAUAAUUAGUUAAAUUGACUUUUGAAAAGUGCAACAGGACAAUUAAAAAUGGAGAGAGUAUAUAGGAUUAGUACUUGUAUAACCUAUUUUCAUUCUCCAAAUCAGCUUCCAAAUGACUCUUAAUUAUUUAUUCUGAAUUGUCAUUGAAUCAAGACUCCAUAGCUUCAUUAAAAUUAAUAAACUUCGCUAGUUUUAUAAUUAAAUUAUUGAGUACAUUAAAAAACUCUUAAUUAAAUGUAUGAUAAAAUAUUUGAGAUAAUUAUGUCUAUGAGAUGAAGAAUGUUAUAAAAAUGACUCUACCUGACCAUUUUUAAUACUUCUUUUGUUCAUUUUUAAUUGUCAUGUUUCGAUUUUUGAAAGUCAAUUUGACUAAUUUUUAAUGUUAAAUUAGAUUACAUUAAUUUGAUAUUUUAAACAAAAAAAUUUAGAUAUUCAAAAACUAUACGAAAAGUACUAUAAAUUGCAAUUUUUUUGCAUGUCAAUAUGAUGAAAACAUACAUUAUUCAAAGUUCUUAUAGUUUAACUUUAAAAAAUAAUCAUAAAAAUUAAAAGUGGACGGAAUUAGUAAUUAAUUAAGCACAUCAUUUCACAUAUCUUAAUUAAUUCUAUGACCUAUUGUCCACUAGCAAUAAAUAUUAGUAGUAAAUUAUAUAUGGUAAAGUUAAGAUAUAUGAUAUCAUCUAGUAUUUUUAUCUCUGUUAUUAUUUAAACAUGAUAUCUUAUAUUCUUAGUUCACUUCAUUGAUCAGUAAAUGACACUUGGAUGCAGAGCUUAUCAUUUUUAUUAAAAGAAAAUUUCUUUUAUUUUCUAAUAUAUAUUUUUGACUUGUUUUCAUGUUCUUUUUUUUGUUCUAAUUUAAUUUUAAAAUCUUCACUCUUUGCAUCAUCCAUUUGCAUUCUAAAAUUGAAACCAGCAUUAUCUAUAAAGAGUACAUAAUAAUAAUAAUAAUAAUAAUAACAACAACAACAAUAAUAUAUAUAUAUAUAUAUUUAUUUUUUUUAAAACGGUUCGGUUCGACUCUUCUUAACAUAACCAAAAUCAAACCAAAUAUUCUAAAUUUUUUAAAAUCUAAAACCAAACCAAAUCAAACCCAAAUAAAAUUGAUUUACUUAAUCAGUUUUAAUCUAAACAAUGACCACCCCUAGUUAUUAUUAUUAUUAUUAUUAUUAUUAUAAUAAGAGUACUAACAUUGGUAAAGGAAAAUGCUCAAAACUCCACUAUUGAUGUUCUUCAUAAAUCGCAUUCAAUGAAUGAGUUUUAUGCCUUAUCCGGAUGCAACUAUUUUCUCUCUUCUUUUCUCUUCCUUCUGCUGCUAAAAUGUGAAAUAAAAAUAUGUACUUAUAAUAUUUCACAAUUUUGUUAUUUAGAGCUUAUAUAUACUUUACCGUGAAAAUAAUUUUAAUUUUUUAAUUAAAAAAUAAUAAUUCAUAUUAGGGUAUAUUGAUCCUUCUCACACGUUUUUUUCUUCUUUUGACUAUUUUUAUUCAUCGACUAAUUUGAAUUUAUAAUUUUAAUGGUAAAAUUUAUUUCUUCCACUUAUUUUCUUGUAAAAUUUAUUAUAGAUGCCCCAAAUAUUUUUUUUAUAUGGAUAUCAAAACUAAAUUACAAUAUAGCCCCAAAAAAAUAAUUAUUAUUUUUUUCAAACUUUUAAUCUUUUUCCAUUCACACUUUUUUAUAUCUCUUCCACUAAACAAUGAAAGAAAAAAUAAAAUAAAAACAAAAAACUCAAACAAUAAAUAGCAAAGAAGUUAGAAAAUAAUUUGUGUGAAAAAGAUCAAAUACAUAUAUUUUUUAAAAUAAUUUUAAAAAAAUCACUUUUAUAACGGGAGGGAUAUAUUAUGUGAGCAACAUUUGUAAUGAUAAUGGUAUAUGUGAGUCAUUUUUUUGUAACAGUAAGGAUAUAUUGAGCCACUUUUGUAACGAGGGUUAUAUCAACUCUAAAAGUUGAGGAGAUAUCAUACUCUUGUUGCUAAUAUCAAUAUGCCACACUCAAACUCAUAUAUAUAUAUUUGUCAGUUCGGUUUGAUUGUUUCUUCGAUUAUCUAAACAAAAUCAGACUCAAACCAAAUACUAUUUAUUUUUAAACAUCUAAAAUCAAACCAAAUAAAACACAAAUAAAAUCAAUUUAUUUAAUCGAUUUGGUUCAAUUUUUCAAUUUGAAUCAAUUUUUCAUCUAAAACGUGACAACCCCUUAUUAUUAUUAUUAUUAUUAUUAUUAUUAUUAUUAUUAUUAUUAUUAUUAUUAUUAUUAUUAUUAUUAUUAUUAUUAUUAUUAUUAUUAUUAUUAUUAUUAUUAUUAUAAGAGUAUUAAUAUUGGUAAAGGAGAAGGUGCAAAAUUCCACUACUGAUGUUCUUCAUAAAUCGCUUUCCAUGAAUGCUUUUUAUGCCUUAUUCGGAUGCAAUUGUUUUCUCUCUCUUCUUUUCUCUUCCUUCCGCAGUUAAAAUGUGAAAUAAAAAUAUUUACUUAUAAUAUUUCGUAAUUUUGUUAUUUAGGGCUUAUAUAUACUUUACAGUGAAUUUUUUUUUUUUUUUUUUUUUUUUUUUAUAAAAAAGAUAAUUCAUAUUAAGGUAUAUUUUUCGGUUUUUAUCUAAGCAGUGACCACCCCUAGUAAUUAUUAUAAUAAGAGUAUUAAUAUUGGUAAAGAAAAUAGUGACCACCAAGAAUUGUCACCGACACUCAUACACAUAACACCAAUAAGAUAAAUGUUCUAGUCUUGAACGAUUUUGCUUUCAUAAAUACAUUAUAAAUAAGUUUUAAUAAAAACACAUAUAAGAUAUUUAAAAUUAAUUAUAAAUAAGUUUUAAUAAAAACUAGAUUACAAUAAAAUAAUAAUAAAAAUCUAAUAUAGGUAACGGAGAAGGUGCAAAACACAUGUAUUGAUGUUCUUCAUAAAUCGCAUUCCACGAAUGCGUUUUAUGUCUUAUUCGUAUGCAACUGUUUUCUCUCUCUUCUUUCCUCGUCCUUUUGCGGCUAAAAUGUCAAAUAAAAAUAUUCACGUAUAAUAUUUCACAAUUUUUUUAUUUAGAGCUUAUAUAUACUUUACCGUGAAAGAAAUAAUUUUUAAUUUUUUUAUUAAAAAUGAGAUAAUUCAUAUUAAGCUAUAUUGAUCCUUCUCACACAUUUUUUUUCUUUUGACUAUUUUUAUUCAUCGACUAAUUUGAAUUCAUUAUUUUGAUAGUCAAAUUUAUUUCUUUCACUUAUUUUCUCGUAAAAUUUAUUAUAAAUGCUCUAAAUAUUUUUUGCUUUAAUAAAUAAAGACAAAAUGGUUUAAUAGACUCUUAUACUUGUAUGAGUUUGUAUUCUGAACCCUCUUACUUUAUACUUUAUCAACUGGACCCUUAAACUUAUUAAAAUGCAAUAUUCGAAACCCGCUGACCAUUGACCAAACCUAUGUGACAUAAAUAUUGCUGAGUUGGAAAAAUGUGUAAAUGCACUCGCUUCCAAACGCGUCAAUACACUAUUUCCUAUUUUAAAACAUUAAUUUUUUUUGGAAAAUAAUAUUUUUUUAAUUAAAAAAAAAUAUUUCUUCAUUAACCCUCUCCCACCCCACCCCCACACCAAUUUCUUUUCUUCUCCACCACUCUUCCCACCAAUAACCUUAAACUUUCUUCUCUUCUUCUUCAACAAAAUAACCCACCACAUCCAUUUUAUUUUUUUUCCAAAUCACCCGUCAUAUACUUUUUUUUCUUCUUCUUCUUCAACCCACUCUCCUCUUUGCAACAAAUCAAACCCCGCUCCUAAUUUUUUUUCCCCAGCCCCCUUUAUCUAAUUAUUUAGUGUUUUUUAUUUUAAAAGUUGAAAUCAUUAUUUGUGUUGAAUUUAAAGAAAAGGUAUGAUAUCAAUUAACGUAAAGAGUGAUGGUGGGUAUUGAAAAAGUUGAAAACUCCAUUGAUAAGUUUGAAAAAACUUGAAGAACAACAAAUGGGUCUUAUGAAUUUGUAAAAUUAAUUCAAAUUUAUGAUUGUGGCUAGUAGGAUUUGUGUUUAUGAACUUCUAGUUGAAAUUUCAAGUCAAAUAAAGAAAAAAUUUCAUCUAUUUGACAUGAAUUUGGUGCUCAAAUUGUGAGCAUAUAUGGAGGUUGAAGAACAUGGCUAUUUAAAAAUUUCCAAAAGUUAAAUAUUUGUUUUUUCUAUUUUUUUAAUAUUUAAUUUCUCAUGUGUCAUUGAAAAAUGACGUGGAAUUACACAUGUAAGAGGUUGGAUUACACACACAGUGAUCUGAUGAGAUUAGGUUUAAAAUGUUGUGUUUUAAUGUGUUUAAGAGUCUAGUUGACAAAGUGUUUAGUAGAAGGGUUCAGAAUAUAAACGUAUACAAGUAUAAUGGUCUAUCAGACCAUUUCGCCAUGAAUAAAUUAUAAAUAAGUUUUAAUGAAAACACAUAUAAGAUAUUUAAAAUUGUUUAUAAAAAUAAUAUAUUAUGUAUGUAUGUACAUUUAUUUAUAUAUAUAUAUAUAUAUAUAUAUAUAUAUAUGUAUAUACUAGACACAAGUGCUCGUGCUGGCACGGACCCAAUAUCUGCUCUUUUUUGCCUCACUUUAUGUGAUAUAGAUAAAAAUUAAAGAGUCAACAAAUAUGAUUUUUAAAUAUUUUAAGUUGUUAAUUAUUGUAAUUUAUAGCACUUUUUGCGUAAUUUUAAAAUAACAUAGAUUACUUUCCUUGUCCCAAUAUAUAUGUAGCACGUAUUAGAAUUUCAAGAGUCAAUAUGUUGUUAAUUAUUGAGAUUUACAAUACUUUUUACGUAGUUUCCAAAUUAAAUAAUACAUGCUACUUCUUUUGUCCAUUUUAUGUGACACGAAUAGAUUAAUUUUAUGAAUCAAUCGAUUUUUUUAUAAGCAAUCAAAUUUUUUAUAUGUUUUUGCAAAAAUAUUUUAAGCUGUCAAUUAGAAUGAUUUGUAGUAUUUUUUUAUGUAAUUUUUAAAUAUAUAGAAUUUAAAAAUAAGAUAAACAAAUUAAAACGGAGAAAAAAAUAGGCAAAUGUAUAUGUAAGUGUGGAACCACACAGGUGAUACAAACAGAGGCAUAUCUAAGGGAGGGUCACCGGGUUCACGUGAACCCAUGGCCCCCUCCCGAAAUCAUAUAUAAUAGUGUUAUAUUUUAAAAAAAUAUUGAAAUAUAGAUAUGUGAACCCACACUUGAAGUAUCACAUAAUGCGAUUAUGACUGGGUGCAUCUCUCUCCGCGAGGUUAGAAAUUUGAAUUUUAUAUUUAUCUUAUUUUAUUUUCUUUCUAAAAUUAGAUAACACUUCUCUAAGUGGUAAUUGCUAUAUAUAUAUAUGAAUUAAUUUUAGACCUAUAAUUUUAAAAUUUUAACGGUUUGCAGUAGUAAAAACUUAAAUGUCGAACCGAUCAAAUUUAUAUCAUAAAUCAACAUUUUUAUAACAGUGCAUCCACCAUCUCAAAAUUCUGGAUACGCCUCUGAAUACAAACAUGUUUACCGUCACAUGUGUGGUUAUCCACCCUUAUAUAUAAGUAGUAUAUAUAUAAUAUUAUGAGACUGCUUUAGUUAUGUCAUUUUUUUCUUACAUAUUAUAUAAGAGAGAAUUUGAGGCAAAAGCAGACAGGUCCUGUCGACAUGCCUACUUAGAUAAGGGCACUUUCGAAAAAAAAAUCUAUUUAUUUAUUCUAUUUCAAUUUAAUUAGUUUAUAUAUUUUUUUAAAUCAUGGGAUCCGUUUUAAUUACGCCUUUUGAUUUUAAAUUCAUAUUUUUAAAAUUUUUUCUUCAAGAAAUUAAUAGAUUUUUAUUAAUUAUCGGAUCGACAUUACAAAUUAAGGAAUAAUUAUAUCAGAUUUGUCUCUAUCUUAAUUCACAACCUCAUCUACCUAAGACUCUAACAAUAUCUAGCGAAACUCUAAAAAGCAAGCUACAAAUUACAUAUAUGAUAAUACAACCUUAUAUUAUCUCUAACUCUAAUAAUAGAUUAGUUUGCAGUGUGUGGUAGAGCUCCUUCAUGCUCCUAGCCUUCUGUUGGAAUACUAUUUCAUUUCUCUCAAUCCAUAUAAUAUAGACAAUUAUAGCUAAUUUUGCCUUCAACAAGCAUCUCUUUAGUUUAGUUUGUCUUUGGUUCGUAACUUUUCUUGUAAUGUCAGUCACACUACAUACACAUGUUUAGAUUCAGAUAUAUUAUAACAUGGUAGGUUUCUUCACACUACAUAAAUAUAUAUUAUAAUUUAUUUUAAAAUAAAAAUUUACUCAAAAUUUAUUAAUAUUAACAACACCUAUCAAUUAUUUAUUUUAUACUUAAUGAAAUAAUUUAAUAUCAUUUAAUUAACACCACUAAAAAAUAAAUUUGUGAAUAAAUAUUGAACGCAUGCACAACACUAUAAAUUUGCUUGAUGUUUUUUAAGCAUAUUUAAAAUUAUGUUAAUAUUAUAUUAAUAUUUAAUUUUUUUAAUUUGUCUAGACUUUAUAUUUACUUAAGAAUUUAAUUUUAAUUUUUCUUUUUUACUAUGAAGUGUAUUUCUUCCGAGUUUUUAUUACUUAAAAAUUAGUUACAGAAGGGCGCGAAUGACCCAAAAAAGUUAAGUGGCUAUUUAAGUCUUUUCCUCUCUCUAAAACCCCCAAUUUCUUCUUCUUCUUAAACCCCGAAAAAAUCGAAGUAAAGCUUUAACCUCCAAACAAAGCCCAUCAAUGGAUAUUGAAGAAGAUGCAUCAAUGGCCCGAAAAUCCCGUCCCAGGAAACGUAAUAAUCCCGAAGACGAUUAUGAUUGUGGGAUUAGCCCAUCCGCUGAAGCUAGAAGGAUAAACUCAGUCAUAUUAGCAAAUACUAAACCAAGUUUUUGUCUAAAACGGGGAAUCGGGAGUUUACACAAAGAUCGUCGGAGUUUACAGUCUGAACAUCGGGGAAGACUUCGACAUAUGCUGAAAAAAUUGAUGCGGCAACAUAAAUAUGCUGAGGCUAGUGGUGUAUUGAGUGUUCUUCUCAAAGGAACAACAAAAGAAGCAGCCGUAUUCAAAACUCGCACAAAGUUUAUGGUACUAAUCUAUUCAAUUUAAUCUAAUUACUUUAUUUUAUUUUUGUACUUCGUGUUUCUAGCUUAAUUUGAUCACUCAAAUUUCACCUCAAUUGGCAAAUUGCACAUCUAGAGAGCUCACUUUGGUUUCAGCUAGCAACUAAACACUCCAAUUUGUCUCUAUUGUGUCUCAUGGACACACUAACCUGAUGUGUAACAUAAAUUCUGGUAGUGCGUAGAUGAUCAUGUUGUUAGCUGGAGUGUUCAUAAUGACACCGAGUAGACGAGUUAAGGUGUCUAGAUGUGGCUACUCAAAAUUGGAUUGUUUACUUGGCAGUUGUGCCCAAAUUUGAGAGUCUGUUUAUGUAUUAUGGCUUGUUUUUCUAAAAAAGUUUUAUCCAACAAGAAUAGUCAUUUUUGACAUGAUUUCUAACAUUUUAGGCAGCUUUGGAGCUCAUUGAGCAUAUAAAAGGUGACACUAUCAGUUCAAUGAGGAUACGAAAUAUUUAUGAACUUUGGAUGAAGAAGCUUGGACCUAUGAAAAACUGGCCCCUGAAGGUAACAAUUUAAAAAUAUAUAAAGUAUUUGCUUAUAUGUUUGUUCAUUAGUUAUGUAUAUCUCCAAGUUGCUCUUUUCAAGUUUUCUGUAACAUUUACUAUUUUCCUGCAAAGUACCUUUUAUAUGCAAUAUAUUACUAGUAAAUUUACGUCUUCAUUAGCCCAAAAGAAGUUCUAAAGAACAAGAUCUUCUUUUCGUGGAAAUACUAAGGGGUUGUUUGGGGUGAGGGAUAAUACCAAAUAGUCCUGAGAUUAAAUUAUAGUGCCACUUAGUUUGUUGUUUGGUUGGCAAGUUCGGGAUAACUUAUCCGAUGGGGAUAAGUUAUCCCUCCCUUGGGUGGUAUAGUAAUCCUGGGAUAACUUAUCCCGGGAUAAAAUAAGAAAUGACAAAAAUGUCUCUCUAAACCUUUUUUAUACAUCACCUUUUACAUUCAUGAAGGGCAUUUUUGUAAACAAAUAAAUUGUUCCAAACACUCAAUAAAAAAUAAUCUUAUCAUAGCUUAUCCCAUCAUAACUAAUCUCAUCAUAAUUUAUCCCAUCAUAACUAAUCCCAUCAUAACUUGAAUUCAAACCAAACGAGUCCUAAGUUUAUUGACUAUUGUUGUUGUUGUUCAUUAGCUUCUUUUUUUUUUGAUAAUGUGUUAUUCAUUAGCUUUGUACUUCUCCAUGGUGCCUUUUUUCAAGUGUUCCCUAUAACAUUUACUAUUUCCUUGUCAGGUACCUUUUAUAUGCAAUGUAUUAGUAUAUUUACUUUCAGUAACCCAUAAAUAGUUCUAAAGAACAAAAUUUCCUUUUCCUUGAGAUGCUAAGAUUAUUGACUUAUUAUUUUUGUUGUUAGAUCGCAACAUCAAACAGAAAGUUUGAUUUUUCUACAUAUUUUAGGAAUAUGUAGUUCAAGGCGGUUAAAAUACUAGUGACAUAAAUAUAUGGCCUCCGUAACAACAUUUGAUGAAGAUGCGAGACAUUGUAUAGUUAAGAAAGCCUUAGAGCUUUACCUCAUCAAAAAAAAAAACCUUGGAGCUUUUCAGGACGCUGAGGGAAAAAUUGCCAUUGAUUAUCAUGUUUAUAAAUGGAUUUAUGUCUUUGUAUUAUGUAGUGUAACUAAGUAAGUCACAAGGUUCUACUGAUAAUGAAGUUUGAGAUUGAAUUUGUAUAUCUGAUGUUAUUUGAACCGCAAUUUUGAGGAGUUGGAUUAAUUGUCACAAAUUUGAUGCUAAAGUUAGUAUUCAUUGAUGUUUGGUACUCACUUUUAAAAACAUUGCGUUUGUAAGUGAUAGUGGUAAAUUGGUGAUGUCAGCAUGAUUUUGUGUUCCAAACUUUAUGAAAGAGAUAAUCGGUUUCACCUUUGUGGUAGCUCAUUGUGAAGUUUGAAUUGUGGCAGGACCGUUUUGCUGUUCAUUUGGAAAACAUCCUUUUCUGUCUCAAACGCGGGAACACACAGGAUGCACAUCAGGGUGCCUUAUCGUAAGUUCUUGGCAUUUAAUAAUUAAUGAUUUAUCUUUCUCAUGUAGGUUGGCGGAAAUCAAUUGCCAAUUAAUGGAAGAAAGUUUUAUUUACUUUUUGCGAAAAGAACUGAAGUUAUAAAAAAGGGUCCAGAGCGGUAAUCUUUUUUAUUGUGCUAAGUCCGACACUUUCUAAUGGUGUCAAUAUUGUUAACUAAAGUAUUGUACUGUUACCUGCAAAGUAAAGUGACAUUUUCUUGGAGAGAGACUCCUAAUUAACAAUCAGAAUAAUAAAUCUGUUUGCAACUUUGUUUAAGAAGCUGCAACACUAUUUGCUUAUUGGUGUGAUUUUCGUAAACUAGAUCAUUACAGUAGUGUGGUUAGCACUGCAAAGGAGCUGGAUCUUUUAAUAUUUUGUGGUGCUUAAUGUCAUCAAAAGAGUAAGAGAAUAAUCCUGCCUGUACUCCACCCCCAGUUGUCACAGUUUAUUGAAAAAUAAGAACUCACCUUCUCAUAAAGAGUAGAAUAGUGGAGAACAAGGGUGACACAUGGACAGGCCAGAAUAAUCCAAUUAGUAGACGUAUGUACUAUGUCGCAUGAAAUAAGAUGACUGUUUAUGCGUUCAGGGUGCAUCAAACUUGUUCCAGAUUUUAGGAUGACACCAAUUAUCAUAAUCGUAUAAACUAAAUGGUUUCUAUAGAGUGGUGGCUAAACCGACCUUGUUGUAGGGGGUAGAGUGUUAGCCAGUCAAGAACGUCCACGUUCAAAGAUGAAUGUAGUAGAGAUGAUGAUGCUCAGAUGGAUGUGUGGACCACUAGGAGAGAUAUGAUUAGGAACAAAGUUAUAGGGGGCAAGGUGGAAGUGGUCGUUGCCCCCGUGGCAGACAGUUGUGGGAGGCAAGACUAAGAUGGUUUGGGCAUGUGAAGAGGAAGUGUGUGGAUGUGCCAGUGAGAAUGUGUGAGAGGUUGGUGGUAACAUGAGUCAAGGUAGGAAGAGGUUGCGGUAACAGGAGUCGAGAGAGGUAGAGGUAGGCCGAAGAGAAACCUGAGGGAGGUGAUUAUACAGGAGCACAACUACAGCUUACUGAGGAUAUGAUCCUAGAUAGGAAGGUGGGGAGGUUGGGGAUUGGGUUAGUAGGUAGCCGAGUGUUACCAAACGUUGUUUCUUUUUCUUCUAUAACAUCAACAACGACAAUAUACCUAGUGUAAUCCCACAAGUGGUUGGGGAGAGUAAGAUGUACGCAUACCUUACCUCACCACAUCCUAUCCUCUCCAAACUGCACUUUGGCAUUACACUAUGUAUGUUGUUGUUGUUGUAUAUAAACUAGAUGGUGUUUCUUUGGGGGCUGGGGUUGAUAAUUGCUACUCUUGGAAUUAGUAAACUGAAUUUUAACCGUAGAUACAAGGUAGAGGUAAAGUUUGCUUACAUCCUACCCUCCCCAAUUCCCAUUUGUGGGAUUACUCUGGGUAUGUUGUUGUUGUUACUGCGUAUAAGCUAGAUGGUGUUUCUUCAGGGACGGUGGUUGAUAAUUGCUACUCUUGAAAUUUGGAAAAUUAUACUUGUUUGAUUUUUGAAAAUGGUUGGCCUGACAAGUGUGGUUUGGAUUGCCUAGCCAUUACACUUCGGAAGAUACAACCUACGCUUGUUAUAUAUUUCAUCUGGAUUUAGAUGAAUCAGAAAUUUGCCUUUGCGAAACUUGGUGGAUAUGUUAAUCUUAAAUGUGUCCAUGACAGGCUGAUCAGGCAAAAUUGAGAAAUAUCACGUUCUUCUUUUUAUCCGAAUGUCCAACUUUAAACCAAGUAAAUAUGAGUUGCAUAAUGAUAAUCCUCUCUGUGCUGUUAUCAAUGUUUAGUAUAAAAAUUUAUUGGACAAAAUUGUAGGCAAUGAUAAUCAGUCAAAUUUUGGUGGCAAAACUGGCUAUGCAAAAUCUUCUCUUUUAGGAUGAAUGCUCUAUUGGAAUGUAAUUCUAGUAUAACAUUUUUAUGUAACAACAACACACCCAGUGAAAACACACAUGUGGGGUCUGGGGUAGCAUUUUUGUAUAUGAAAUUCCAAAGGCUUAAUGUUACCUCCCCUGGCUGUGAUUUGUAUCAGGCUCAUGCAGCAACGUGGUUUUGGUAGUGAUCCAGUCUCUAAUUUAGUUGUGGGCUUAGCCUUUUAUCAGUUAUGGUAUUCUACUAUCCCAAAGGAGUUGCAGUUGCAAGAGUUGGACAGAUUUGAUAGCACGGUGCAGUCAGAGACCUUUGAGGACAGAAUAUUUAUGUCCAUUUUAAAUUCAGAGGGGCAUGAUGCUGUUGAAGGCCAAGAGACUAAUUCUCCAUUCCAUUGUGAUUCAAACACCUCUAUUAGGAACGAUAAAGAGAUCUUGGGAGUUGAUGUCAGUCAACAGAGAGAAGUCGCCAUGGUCAAUGAUGAUAAUGUGCUGGGAGAAACACAAAAUGACAAUUUUCAGCCACAAGACUUUUACUUGAAUUCUGCUGAAAGAAGUGAUCAUGAAGGUUCUUCUAUGGAUCAGAGUGGUGAUGUUCCCUAUCAUUCCAUAUUCUGCAAUCGUGGUGAGUGUUACUCAUGGCUUAAAGAUUUGUCUAUGUUGCUGUAUAGUCAAAAAUGAAUUCAAAAGAGUAGCAAAUUUUGCUUUUACUUGCAGAAAACCCUAGAGCCUGGUUUAUGGCAAUUGGAUUUGGACUUGAGGUACAAUAAGUAGUAUGGGCUGAAAAAACAAGUUCACUUCUCUUUUUCCUUCUCUCUUAUGAGAAGGGGUCAGACGAGACCCUUUAUCUCCUUGUCUUAAUUGAAGUUGGGGCUAUUGGUGACUGAAUAUUGUUGAUUUCAAGAAUGAACAUGUUCAUAUAUCAUUUGAAUAAUUACCUUUAGUUUGUACUGGUCAUUCUAUAAUAUGAAUUUAGCCUCUAAUUUUGCUUUGGGUUUAGGUAAGUUACAAGUAUUAGCAUAGGGUAUACUUUAGCCAAAAAAAAAAGUUACAUAUAAUUGCAUAGGCAUGUAGUUAUAGCACGUAUUGUCUGGGACUUCUUUGUUCAAUUUAAAAUGAAUGGCACUAGCAUUCUUCCAAGAACUCUCCAGGGCAAAGUCUGGAGCCAUAGACAUUUGGAACCCAAUAUUGGAGAAAUGUGAAAAGAAACUAGCCAGAUGGAGAUCACAGUACCUCUCCUUGGGAGGUAGAUUAACUCUGAUAAACUCUGUUCUGGAUGCUCUCCCUACAUAUAUGCUAUCUAUCUUCCAUAUUCCCCAAUCAGUAGUUCAGAGUUUGGACAAAAUUAGAAGAAACUUCUUGUGGCAAGGAAAUAAGGAAAGAAAAGGCUUUCACUUAGUCAAGUGGAAGAACAUCAUCAGAAGUAAGACGCAAGGUGGAUUAGGUAUCAAGAAUCUCAAAAACCAUAGCAAAGCUCUGAAGGUGAAAUGGUUAUGGAGGUACCAUCAGGAGGACCAAGCACUAUGGUAUAGGGUGAUCAACAACAAGUAUGAGGAGCUAAAUAAAUGGGUAACCAAAGAGGUAAAUACCCCCCAUGGGAUUAGCCUUUGGAAAUCCAUCAGAAUAUUUUGGCCUUUUCUCAGUAAUCAGUCUACUGUCAAGGUACAAAAUGGAAGAAAAACUAGUUUUUGGUUUGAUAAAUGGUCGGAUGGUAUGAGCCUCAAAGAUCGUUUUCCUGACAUCUUUACAUUGGUUCAACACCAACAGAAGACUGUCGCUGAAAUGUGGACACAACAAGGCUGGGAUCUGAUCCUCAGAAGAAAUCUGAAUGACUGGGAAAUUCCCAGAAUACUUGAAUUGUUUAAGGUUCUGGAGAAUUUUCAAGGUAUACAAACAGGCGAGGAUUAUUUAUGGUGGCAAGGGCACAACAAAGGUAGUUACAAGGUGAAAGAAGGAUACAAACAGAUAAGUACUGGUGGCAUUCAAGACUUCAAAUGGCCUUGGAAGCAAAUCUGGAGGAACAAAGUGCCAUGAUAAGUACUGGUGGCAUUCAAGACUUCAAAUGGCCUUGGAAGCAAAUCUGGAGGAACAAAGUGCCAUGAUAAGUACUGGUGGCAUUCAAGACUUCAAAUGGCCUUGGAAGCAAAUCUGGAGGAACAAAGUGCCAUGAUAAGUACUGGUGGCAUUCAAGACUUCAAAUGGCCUUGGAAGCAAAUCUGGAGGAACAAAGUGCCAUGAUAAGUACUGGUGGCAUUCAAGACUUCAAAUGGCCUUGGAAGCAAAUCUGGAGGAACAAAGUGCCACACAAAGUGGCAUGCUUUACAUGGCUACUAGCCAAUAAAGCAGUUUUGACGUUGGAUAAUGUGGCCAAGAGAGGAAUCUCUCUAUGUAACAGAUGUUCCUUAUGUGGUAAGGCUAAUGAGACAGUGAGACAUCUCUUCUUACAUUGCAACUUUACUGAGCAGCUGUGGCAGAUUUUCCUUAAUCUCAGAGGCAUAUCUUGGUGUAUGCCUAGCAAGAUUGAUGAGACUCUAUUCAGUUGGGAGAUGGCUGGAGUUGGGGCUACAAACAGAGAAAGAUGGAGGAUGAUCCCUGCUAGUAUUUGGUGGACUAUAUGGAGGGAGAGAAACGAGAGAUGUUUUGAGAAUAGGAAC
RNAcentral lists this long non-coding RNA (68821 nucleotides) under Solanum tuberosum (potato). RNAcentral's name for it is "long non-coding RNA (STUB_LNC011071)". The record is from RNAcentral. Lineage: Eukaryota; Viridiplantae; Streptophyta; Magnoliopsida; Solanales; Solanaceae.